UUAAGCCAAUUCAGACAACUCCGGUCUUCUGCCCAAAAACUUCCUGAAAGAAUUGAUUUAUCGGCUUUCUUUUCUGCGAGUCUCGACUUCAAGUGGGAAUGAUUUGGUCCAAUGGUGAAGAUUUUUGGUAUGUGAUUGCGUAUAUGAGAUACUAUUGAUCCUUCUAGAUCUUCAAAAGUGUUAAAAAUGGCUGCUUGAGCUCUCGUGGUUUGUCUAGUCACAGAUUUCAUCAAUUGAAGGUUUGGCUCAUUGAUGUCGUUGACACGGCAAAAGCUGGGUAAGUCACGGAAUCUUAAAAAACCUUCCAUUCCCGGCAUACUUUUUACCAGUUGGUCCAUGCUAAUACCUUUAAAAUUCAUCAAGAAAAGAAAUUAUUUUCUACGGCACAUUUUCUUUUUAAUAAAAUAAUUUUGCAUAUAAAACUAAAAUAAAAUUUUCCUUUUUUCUAAGUAUAUUUUAUUUAAUAAAAAAAUAUUUUUUUUUUCAGAAAAUUUAUUAUGAAAAAUGAGGGUGAAACAGGUGCUAAAUAUCUUUAAACAGACAGGUUGACUAGAAAUCAGGAAAGCAAGUGGACACCUUCAACGGAAAUUUCACCGGCUUCAAUGAGUUCAGGUAUAGAAAAAUAAGCCCAAAAGGAGCAAGCACUAAUAGUCCGAAAAUAUAUGAGGGGAAUCCCUUUCUCUUCGGCAAAAUCACCGGCAAAUGGCAGGGACCCGUCAGCUAUGAUGCAAGAAAUUGGCCUUCGGGUUUCAGAAGAGAAAAAGUUCUUCUCAACCAUCAUCUGCUUGAAGAGUGGUGCCGUUGUGUUUUUGGUAGAAGGCAGGAUAUCCAUGACUUUCUCGCCAACUCGAGGAUGGUCAUCAGGAAGCCCAUCGGUGAUGGCCUGGAAACGGAAUCCAGGAUACUGCUUGAAACGCGAACCGACUGUGGUAUGCUUGAGGAGGCGGCUGUGGCUGAAAUCAGAGAUCAUGAAUGUAAUGUCAAGGCCAGAAAGACAGAGGAGUUCGGCUAGCAUGAGCAUGGAAUUCACAUGGCCCUGAAUUGGCACCGGAAAAAUGAGUACAUGAGGAGGGAGUGUGGCACCUUGAGAAUCCAUUAGCUUCUUCAUUCUUAUGUCGUUGUAAAUUUCAUAUCAACUCUGUGGAAAAACACAAGUAUUUAUGCAAUAAACCUACUAAUCAGAGUCUUGUAGACAGCUCCAGAUAACAAUAAGAGUUAAGCCAAAGGACCAGCGAGGAUAAUCUCGUCGGUGACCGCUACCUCACAUAUUUGGCGGGGGUACUUCAUGAAUAAAAUAAUUCUGACUCGUGUGUAUGUUGUGUCAAAUCUACAGUCAUUUAUGUGGACAUUAUAGCACGACAAUAAUUCACACGAGCUACCGCAAGACGUCACUGCAGACGUCAAAAUGUAGCUGGAGCAUUAGUUUAGACAUAACAUGUGCACCCGAGGUAUAAACGACAAAACUUCACGUGGCUCACUAGAUGUGACGUAUGACUGCAAAAUGUUGGUGGCACUUUUGGCACGAUUUGAUUCGAUUUGCUUUUUCAUUUUCAAAAGCUCAAGAAAAAGACGCUCAUUGUAAAAAGAUAUGGAAAAUACAGAAAAUAAUAUAAGCUAUACAUGUGAUCUAUCGGCAGUGAUCUUCGAUACAAGAUAAAUAGAUGGUAAAUUUAAAAAAUAACAUAAUCUAUACAAAAAUUUAUCGACAGUUAAUGAUACCAACAACUUCUUUGUCAAUGAUAGACCCCUGAAUGGUUGAUUCAAGCUCAUCUUUGUUGAACUCAAAAUCACGUGAGAUUAGGAUACUAAUUGAUCUUGCCACACAUUUCAUUACUUGUCCUUCUCCUACAAAAAAAAAAUACCCCAUUAGUGUGCAAAAGGUAGCUUUUCCAAAAGGUAGAUCUUCCAACAUUUAUACUCCGGCAAUCAAAUAAGUCAUUGAACUAAGCUUUCAAAAGGUAAACUUACACGACAAAUAGGUUAAUGGAGCAAACUAAUCAAAAGUGUGGCUAGGGGUUUUUUCGUUCUUCUUCUUUUUUUUUUUUUCUCCAUGAAAAAUAGCCAUUCAUAGGCCUUUCAAGGUUUAGGGUAUUAGUAUUUGUCAUGAGUCUUGGUGGAAAUUUCUUUUAGUUGCAUCAACAAAUAUUUCCUUUCUAUUGUUGAGAAUUUUCAUAAUGCCUUCUUCGAUGGAGAUUAAAAAUUAGAUUUUUAGUAAAGUUUGAUAAAAGUCAAUAAAAUGUGUGGUUGAAAAUUCGUGGAUACCAUAAAAUUUGUGACUAAAAUAAAUUGUUAACUUUGAAUUUAAUAAAAAUUUAAAUUUUAAUCCCUAUCAAAUAAGGGCAAAAUAUCUUAUGAAUAUGACUAUACGAGUCAUCAGCUUAGUGGAAGAGCUGUUACUUUCUACGAAUUUCUUACUAGCCCUAUUUUUUGGCCAAAAUAUAUUCUAAAAUAGUAUUUUGUUAAAGGAGGAGAUAAUUAGCACAAAACGUACAUACAUUUCAAUGUUUUUGUGUAAAACGUCCUUACCUUUUUUUUUUUUUUGGCAUUUUCACCACUAUUUUCAUCUUUCAUUGCGGAAAAGAUCAUUUUUAUCCAAUUCCUCAAUAAAAAAUGCAAAAUAACAAAUAUACCUUCAUGUUUAAAUAAAACAAAAAAAAAUGAAAAGAAAAAUUCAAGAUCAAAUUGCAGUUAUAUUCCCACACUUUUUAAAUAACUGCUAAUGAAUCCAAAUAAAUUAUUAAAAUGAUAAUUAGCAUAAAACGUCCAUAUAUUUCAAUAUUGUUGUGAAAAAUGUUCCUAUCUUUAUUUUUUUAAUAUUUUCACCCUUAUUUUCACAUUAUAUUGUGAAAAUCAUCAUUUUCUCAAUUGAAAGCUAUAAAAUGAUGAAUAUAUCUCCUAUUUAAAUAAAACAAAAAUAAAGAAAAGAAAAAUAAAAAAUAAAUUACAGCUAUACUCCCAAAGUUUUCAUAAAAGUACAAAUAAAUUUCUUUCUUCUUUUUCCUUUGACUUUUCUUGGUAUUUUUGUGGAACAUUAGAGCACAAGAAAGGGAAUUCAAUCAAGGAGUUGGAGAAAUUUUGGAAAACGACAAGAACAAGGGUUUUAUCAUCUUCCAAAAUAUACCAAAGGAGGUUCUAUCUCUUCUCUUGUGUUUAAUUAAUCCGCUCAUUCUCCAAAUUUGUAGUAAAUGUUAUGAAUACUCUCAUUUGUUAUCAUAUAAAUAAUAUGGACUAAUUUCUUGUGUUGGGAUUUAUGGUUGUAGCUUAACUUACUUGGAUUAAUUUCAAUAUCAUUUUCCUAAUGUUUGAAUACUUGUUUUCUUGUGUUUUUACUAUUGUAUUUUUUGCAUUUUCAUUUAUGUGGCCAAUGAAUGAUUAUGUUUGGUGAUUUGUAAUCAUUUAAGAGAAGAUUGUGUAUUUUAGAUCAAAUAGUAGAAACCCUAGGUGUGUAGAGGAUAGAAAUAUACUCAUAACUUUAGGUGACCUAUUGAGCUAUUUUCACAAAGGUUUAAUACGGUUGUUUGGUUUGAAUCAACAUAGAGGUGUAUCAGGUUAAAUCAAUCAAUUAUGGUUAAUUUCGCUCAAGAGUGGUAAUUAACUAAAAUUUAAAAAUUGGGUCUAACAAAAUAAAUGAAUAAUAUGUUAAUUAACUUGUUGAGAAAUUAAUUAGAUGACGGUCAAGUGAAACCAUAAAUCUCUAUCACGUUUUCCUCUGAAAUUCCCAAAAUUUUUUUAUUUUCUUAUUUUGUAGAUUUUUAGUUAUUUUCCAAAAUCAAAAUCUUUAUUGUGUGUUUGUUUUCAUUGUUAGAAUUAAAUUGAUUAAAAUUGUAUAAUCGAAAGUAUACAUUCCUCGAGAAAUCGACAACUCAAACUCAAAAAGUCCACUUUAUUACUUGAACGUGACCCGUGCACUUGCAGCAUACAAUUUGAAUGACCAACAAUCAACAGGUAGAAUUAUUGGUAAAAUAGUAGAAUGAAGGCCUGUUCAUUGAUACUGUUAGUAGGAAGAAAGACGUAAAUCAAAUGCGGAUUACUCCUAUCAAAAUCUCAAAUAAUGACGUCACUAAUUUGGCUAAAUCUAUGAUAGCGAAAUCCUUGAAUGUGAAUGGAGUAAGUGCUAAGACAACAAGUAAUGAAAAGCUCAAAGCAAAUACUGACGAGAAAAAAAAAAUUGGUGGCUACUAAAGACAAAAAUAAAGGAAUUUUCCUUGCUUCAACAUCAUAAAGAUUUGCACUUGGAACAUUAGGGACUUGUACCCUUCCCUCAAAGAAAAUGGAGUUUUCGAAAACAAAGUUAGGUGAACCGAAAUUAGAUUGGUUCACGAGGAAUAAAUUUGGUGGUUUAUCGCAAAUCAUCAACUUUUCUACUCAUCAAGCUAGCCGGAUAUUGGUUUUGUGGAACUUUUUGAAAUUUAGCUUGUAAGUGCUUGAGACUACCACGUAGGUUAUCCAUUGUUCCGCAACUUGCAAGGUUAGAUCGCUCACUUUUCUUGUUAUCUUUAUAUAUGGUUUUCAUACUAUCCCUAGCCGUAGACCGCUAUGAAAUAGCAUCUUGGAGUUUAGCUUAUAUUGCUCUUUGCUAUGGCUGAUUAUGGGGGAUUUCAGUAAUGUGCUUAAAUUUGAAGAAAAUAGUAAUGGUACGUAUGUUACCCCGUACGAGGUAAAAAACUUUGAGAGUUGUUGACUUAGUCUUGGACUUAUGUAUAUGAGAUCCAUUGGUUGUUUUUACACUUGAACAAAUAACUUGGUUUGGAGCAAGCUUGAUAGGGCAUUGGUGAAUGAUGUUUGAUUACAAAUGGGGUUUAAUAGCUUGGUUCAUUUUCUUCUAUCAGGGUGAUUAUCCAAUCAUUCUCCAUGCACUGUCUCACUUUUUGGCCAAGAGGAAAAUAAGAGAAAGUUGUUUAGAUUUUUCAAUACGUGGACUAAUCAUGGUAGCUUCCAAGAGGUUGUGCAAAAUUAUUGGCAACAAGAGAUUACGGGUAAGAAACAAUUUACGCUUUGCAAGAAGUUACAAAGUCUUAAAGGGGAGCUCAAAAAGCUUAACGAUGAGCGCUUUUCACAUGUUUCCAUGAGAGCUAAAAUGGCUACCACGAAGUUAGAGAGGCACAAUUGGAAUUGUAUGAUAACCUCAUAAUAUUGAACUUCAAAGUAGGGUGACAUGCAAGAGAAAAGUAUCCAUUGAUUUGUGUGAAGCGAAGAGGAGUUUCUACUAUCAAUAAGCUAAGUGUGAAUACCUAAAGUAUAGUGACUAAUGCACUAAGUUCUUUCACUCAAUGGGUCAAGAGGAAUAUUAAAAAGAAUUUCAUUGCUACUGUGCUUAAAGGGAAUGGAUGGAUCAUAUACUAUCUCAUUGGAAGAAGUGGCCAAUGAAUUCCUUCGUUUCUAUAGAUAUUUACUAAGGAAGAAUUUUUCGGGACAUCCUAUUGAUGUUGACAUCAUGAAGAGUGGUUUCUUGUUAUCGAAAGAGAUUACUUUGGCCCUAGGUCGAGACAUUUUCGAGCAAGAGAUCAAGGAGGCAUUGUAUAGCAUCAGGGAUGAUAAGUCACCAGGGCCAAAUGGACACACUUUUUGUUUCUUCAAAAAGUCAUGGGAUAUUGUUGGUCAUGAGUUCAUGGGAGAGGUGAAAGAAUUCUUUGCUCUAGUUCUUUUCUUAAGCAAAAUAACCACACGGUUAUUGCAUUGGUUCCUAAGAGUAAUCACUCUAUCUCAGUGGGAGAUUAUAGACCAAUUGCUUGUUGUAACGUGUUUCAUAAGGUUAUUACCAAGAUCCUCGCUUCUGGGUUAAAAAUAUACUUGGGACGAUUGUUGACCAAACACAAGUCACAUUUGUGGAAGGUAGAAGUAUGACAGAGAAUAUCCAUCACGCCCAAGAGCUUUUGAGACAAUAUAUCACAAGAGUGUGCUUCAAGGUUUGGAAUUUCCAAAUAAAUUCAUUGAUUGAGUGAUGGAAUGUGUUACCACACCGGCGUGUUCUAUUGCUCUUAAUGGUAGUCUUCAUGAAUUCAUCAAAGGGAAAAGGGGCUUCGUCAAAUGGACCUUCUCUCUACUUUCUUAUUUGUGAUUUGCCUUUAAUACUUCUCGAGGAUAUUGAAGCGUGCAACCGAGAAUAGUGAGUACAAUUUUCACCUAAAUGUGGUUCCUUAAAGAUUACUAUUUAGCAUUUGCAGACAACUUAACACUAUUCUCUAGAGGUGAUAAAAUUUCGGUAGGCAUCUUGAUGGAUUGUUUAUCUAAAUUUGGAGACAUUUCGGGUCUUAGAAUGAGUGUUGAUAAAUCUAGCUUGUACAUAGUGGGUGUCUAUGGGCAAGAGCUUGAGAACAUUUAUGGAUUUACUAGUAUGCCCAUAGGAUCUAUGCCUUUUAGACACUUGAGUAUUCUCCUAGCAGAAGAAAAGCUUAAAAUCAGUUCUUAUGAUUCCUUUCUCAACAAAAUUUAGGUCUACAUUUGUGCUUGGUCUAGAGAAACUUUGUCCUAUGCUGGGAAAGCGAAACUUGCUAGAGCUGUCCUUCAAGGUGUUGAAUAUUUUUGGCUCUCUAUCUUUCCUAUUCUAGCUAUAGUUAUUUCAAGGGUCAUUGGUCUAUGUUGGAAUUUCUUUCAGGGGUCUAAGAGACCAUUGGUCGCCUGGAACAACAUUUUCUUACCAAAAGAUGAUGGAGGACUUGGUUUCAAAGAUUUGAAAUGUUGGAAUUCAGCCCUACUGUGAAAGUCACUGAGGAAUAUUCAUAGAAAGAAUGACUCACUUUGGGUCAAGUGGAUUAACAAUGUGUACUUAAAGGGAAUAGAUUUAUAGGAGUGUGUUGCCCACAAAGAAGACUCGCCUUUGAUAAAGAGGCCGCUGAAAAUCAGAGGCCAACUCACUGGACCUGCUGGGAACACACGGGUUGCUGGAAUGGAUAGAAUCUAGUAACUUUUGAAUGGAUAGGGCUUACGGGUUUUUCAAACAAGCUAGGGUAAAGAGGACAUGGACACCUGAAGUUUGGAGAUCGUACAUUACUCCUAAACACUCAUUCAUCCUUUAGCUGGGAGUGCAAUCCAAAUUGCUUACUAAUGAUAGGCUAUCAUAUCAAACAUUGAUGGAACUUGUGGAUUCAGUGGUUUGCAAGAGGAAACUGCCAACACUUAUUUCUCUAACAAUCUUUCUCCUUUCAUGUUUGAAAGAAUAUUGAGGUCUGGUUGGGCAUUAGAAGAGCAAUGACUGCCAUUGCUAGUGCAUUGAUAGAUAUAAUGGAAUUGUAUGUUUGGUAAUGCAUUGAUGGUUGGGCAGUGAAGAAGAAAUGAAAAAAAAUAAGAACUGCUUUAUCAGAUAGGAAGUAAAGAAUUACAUUGAUGAAUGCCAAUUGAUGUAGUUACUGAAAAUUUUGAUCUUGCAGUUUCUUAAAUUUACACCAAACCAAUAUCUCAUAGGUCAUAUGAGGCUACUGAAAUAAAGCAAGAGAUGAUUUUCAAAAGAAAGCGUUCAUUUGUCACUUUUUAAUUCCAAAUCCAAUUUUUUUUAAGAAAAAUCGAUAAAUACUCCAAACACUGAAUAAUCAGCCAACAAUAAUCAACUCUAUAUGUGAAUCAAGUACAACAACAGUUACUUAAAAUGUUUGGUUUUCAAUUGCAACAAGAAUAACAUUUUUCCAUAUAAUGACAAGUAUCAUGAACAUAAAAUUUUGUUGACAAUCAAAUGGAUUUGCCAACAGUGAAUGGAUGACUACAGAUGCUUCAAUAAGAGUGCAAUUCUAACCAACACAUAAGAGAUAAAGAGGUAGCUCAGCAAAAAUCUUAUCGUAACAAGCAAAAUGAAACUAAAACCUAAAGAUCGACGAUCGACAAUGGUGACUUCGACGGUUGGAGAACUCAUUUGGAUCAACACUGACAACCGAAGAUUGGAGCCUCAAUGUUUGAAAUACAUAGCAUCAACAAAUCCAAUUAAAAAAAAUUGAGAAUCUGAUCACGAGAAAAGAUAUAAAAAGGCAACUCAGGCAGAAAUCUUUCUGUAACCAGCAAAACGUGACACGAAAGAAGGAUUUCAGAUCGAGGACGAAGAUUUUGGUGGUUGGAGAGCUCGUUUGAUUAAUCGACAACCAAAGAUUCAGAUUUAGGAUUAGUGGAGAGAGAGACAGAGAGCUACAGAUCGGGGGCGACGAUUUGGGUGUUUGGAGAGCUCGUUUGGUUAAUUAACAAGCAAAAUUUCAGAUUUAGGACUAGUGGAGAGGCAAAGAGCUCAUUGAAGAUUGGAUCAUAUGGAAUUGCAAAUGGGUACAUAGUUAAUCAAACCAAUAAGCCCAACUAGAAAUAGAGAGUGGAAUUUUUGUAAAUAGGUACACUGUUAAUGUAACCAAUAAGCCUAAAAAAUAAUUGGUCGGUUCAAUUUGCAUUUAAUGAAUGAAUUGACAUUAUUACCUUUUCAAAUUUGUAGUAUAGGUUAUGUGUCAAAUUUCUAUUUGCCAACAUUAUUUUUAAUUAUAUAAAAAGUUUGUCUUUCUUGUGGAAUUUCAAAUUGUUACUAAGGGCAUUUUGGUCUAAUUUUUUGUCAAAAUGGACAUGAGACGGAUUUAGGACAUUUUUGCAAAUGACCAUUGAAAAGUGGACAUUUUUUUGCAAUUUCUUCUAUAUUUAUUGUACAUUUUUUUUUUUUUUCAAAUAGAAGCCAAAAAAAAUUCAAACCUUCGAAUAGAAACUCUAUGGAUCAGAAGAAUUUAAACCUAAAUCAAACCAUCACUCUUUUUACCAAAAAAUCACUGAAGACUCUUAAACUCAUAAAAAUAUUCUUGGGAAAGUGGCUACAAAUCUUGGGAAAAUCCCUUCCAAACAUGCGCAUAAUUUAACAAUUCUUACUCGAUUAUUGUCUUUAUCACAAUCAGUCUUCCCGCUUUGAUUUUCCACUUCUUAAAAUCUUGGUCAUCCUUUUGUGGUGUGACAUCACCGUCGUUGACUACAUCCCACAAGUUUUGCCCCUAGAAAGAUGACUCGAUGCACAUUUGCCGCAUGGUGUAGUUUUAAUUAUUUAACUUCUUAAUUCCACAUAUUACCUUAAUGUCGUCCAGCAUGACUUGAUUAACCCCCUCGUUACCAAGAAAAUUUUAUAGAAGCUUCACAAUCUCAAUUUGUGUGUGAUCUUAAAAAGCUUAAAAAGUCUGUCCUUUGGUUGCCUUGCUCUUACCAAAUUGACGAUUUUAAUCAACAAAAUAUUAUUUUAUUCACAAAAGGCUCUUAUACAAUUUGGAUAUACACACCAAGGACACUAAUAAGUAUAACAUUAUUCAUUUAAGGGAACACCUAGCACUCUCGUCACUAUCAUACUCAAUUUACUGAUCUCCCUCAUCAAUUCAUACAUGCACAAUAUCCUAUUUAUAGGAAUUCAAAUAUUUGGUGGUAGGAUAGGGAUGGGACAGGGCAGGGCUGGGAUGAAUAUUUUUGAAAGUGCUUUUAGUGGAGUUGACAUUAAAUCAACUUCCUCUAAAAAAUCUUCUAAAAGCACUUUCAAAAAUAUUCAUCCAGGAAAAGAUUUAAAAGAAAUUGAAAAAUUUGAUGAUAUAUUCAGGGCAGAAGUUUCAAAAUUUGCCCAAGGGAGAUCGAUUUAUAUCAAAUUUUAUUCAAUAAGUCCCGAAGUUGAUGGAAGGAUAUAUUAUCCUGCUGAACAUAUCAUUACAAUUGGAUAUGUUGGCCGAGAUUUCCAGAUUGAAGUUGGCCGAAAUAAUAAACCAUUGCCAAAAAUCAAUAGAUCAUGGAUAAAAUCCCGGAGAGUUUUGGGGAUGAAAGUUCUUUACAACAUUGCAAAGAACUUAUAUGAUAAAAAAUUCAGAUGCUUGUGCCAAUAUGAAGGAUGGACACUCCUUACAAACAAUGGAAAAGAAAAAUCUACCAUUUUGAAAGAAUAUAUCCAAAAAUUUGAUACCCAUCAAAUUAGUGGAAGUCCAACAACAAUUCAAGAAUCAUGCAGAUUGAGGGAUGGAAAAUAACCUACCACUACCAAAGCAUCUGGCCAGCUGUGUAUAAAGACAAAGAUGGAAAAGCAAUAAUAAAAAGCAUCUAGCCAGUUGCACAUGAAGCCAAAGACGAUAAGGCAAUAAUAGGAGAAAAGAUGCCACUCAGAUGAAAAAGCAAAAAAUGCAUGUGGAGAUGUAGACCCCAGAAGAAAAAGAAUAGAGAGGCAUGUGAGCCUUUUCAAAAUUAUGAUGUAUGCAAUGAUGUAAUAGAUCAAUAAUAGCAAGUUUGAGUCAUGUAUAAAUAGAGGUCCUUGGGGAAAGAAUGGGGCAUCUCGAGUUAGAAACCAUUCUCUUUCCUUAAGCUUUUCAAAACCAGUUUUUCUGGAAACCCCUUGUAUACAAUAGAAAUCUUGUAUAAAUCAUUAUAGAAAUAAAAUUCCAGUCUUUUGAUAUCAGAAAAAAUAUGAGUUUCUAAACUUCCUAUCCCAUAGAUUCUUGAUAGAUUGAAGAAGAUAAUCUCUUUCUUACUUUAACAAAGAGAGAAUUUUCUUUACUUAAGAUCUUUACUCUUAAUUCUAAGAAAAGAUACAGUGAGGGCAAGAAGCUGAAAUAGCAGAAUUCCCAUUGAGGCAAAAGGCCGUUUGAGGGAGCAGUUUGCAGAUUCAGAGCCUGAAGGUCACUCGGUUCUAAGAAUACAGAUUUAAGAUCAAGAGCAAGGUAAAAUUAUUGUUUUUGUUAAAUUUAGAAAGAACUCUUCUAAUAUCUUGAAAGAAUCGUAGGGAUUAUUACUUUUUAUGUUUGCAAAAAACUUUUCUAACAUGUUAUUAUUAUUCAUAAAGUUUGCAAAUUACCAAUUAGGCAAUUACCAAACGAAUCGAAGCAGUGCAAACAAGGAGAAGCAAGACGCGCCAUUCCCGAUCAUUCUCCAUUUCUCCACCUUUCCUAGCUCGAUUUGCGAAGUUGGUCGCCGACUACAGACUGGAAGCCUUGGACGGACCUCCUGUGGCCACUGGCUCUGACUUUGUGAACUAGGGUGAGCACCUUUUUCCUUCUAUCGUUCUCGUUUUUGUUUUAAUUUUUUGCUUUUUUUAAUUUUCCUUCUAUGACAAAGAAAUGAGAAUUGUGAAUUUGUGAUUUAUGAUAAAGAAUUUAUGUUGUAUGAGUUUUGAGUUAUGAUUUAUCAUUUAUCAUUUAAAAGUUUUGAUUUUGAUUUGGGAAUUUAGGUUUAGGAAAUUAGGGAUAUGUGAAAAAAAUUAAUGGAGAAGAUGAUGGGCUCAAUUGAACCAUGUGUAUUAAGCUAUAUUUUUAUAUGUAUAAAAUUUUCGUGUUAGUGCAUUUACAUAUUUGUUGAAAAAAAUUUAAUAUUAUUUAAUGAAAUAUUAAUAACGACAUCGUGAUUGUCACCAGUCAAAAAGGUCCAACGGUCAACUACCCUAACUGACCUCCGAUCUUGGAUUCGCCACUGGUUAAUAUCUAGGUGGUUAAUAUUCAAUAAAUGAGGGAAAUGAUGGACCACUAUGAUAUUCAAAAUAUUAACAGCACUACCUGGCUAGAAGAAAGACCAACAUGGGCACAACUAACAUAUAAAUUAAUAGAGUACUUCAAAUUUAAAAUAGUUUAAUAAAUAAGUGUUGUUAUUCUGAAACUGUAAUGUUAUUGGAAUGAUUAAUACCAAAUCUUCUUGACAAAAAAUGGAAGUAUCAACAAACACACAAUAUAAAGAGGUAUAGGAAGAAAUAUACCUAAAUACUGACAAUUAUAGAACAAACGAAAGCAUAAGUCUCACUUAAAACCGAGUUUACUGAUUGUAUAAUUCAACUAUCUUGAAUUUCCGUUUUCCUUUCAUAGCAAGAAAGUUUGAAAACAUCAGAUGAUCAUUGUUUUGAUGUAGUCAAUAAGAGCAUUCAAAUUGCUAUACGAUGAUCCACCUUCACUAACAGCCUUUCUUGCAAGCUUUGCCAUAUUUUCUGACCUUUCCAAGAACUCAUCCUUCCUUUCUUCCAUAAGCUCUCUGACUGCUUUCUCAAUAAUUUCUCUAUCACAAGUAUCUUUUAUGUCUAACCCAAUCUUCCAAACCUCACUCACAAACCUACUGUUAGUUGUUUGAUCACCAAAAUAUGGCCAACAAAUCAUUGGCACACCAACUACAAUACUCUCCAGAGUCGAGUUCCAUCCACUGUGAGUCAAAAACCCACCCACUGCCUCGUGGUUCAGAACUUCUUCCUGAGGAGCCCAUCCUACCAUGUAACCCCUGGCCUUCGUACCCUCCUCUAAUUCUAUUGGAGUUUGAUUCUUCCCAUCUUCCCCUACAAUUGAAUCUGGUCUCAUGACCCACAAGAACCUCUGUCCACUAUUCACCAAUCCAUGCCAGAACUCCAAUAGCUGCUCUCUUGUCACAACUGUAAUGCUUCCAAAACUAACGUAGAUUACUGAAUUUGACGGCUGUGCAUUAAGCCAAUCCAGACAACUCCGGUCUUCAGCCCAGAAGCUUCCUGAAAGAACUGAAUUAUCGACCUUCUUCUCAGCCAGUCUCGACUUCAGGUGGGAAUGAUUUGGUCCAAUGGUGAAGACUUUUGGUAUGUGCUUCUGUAUAUGAGAUACUAUUGACCCUUCUAGAUCUUCAAAAGUGUUAAAAAUGGCUGCUUGCGCUCUCGUGGUUUGUCUAGUCACGGAUUUCAUCAAUUGAAGGUUUGGCUCAUAGAUGUCGUUGACACGGCAAAAGCUGGGCAAGUCACGGAAUCUUAGAAAACCUUCCAUUCCCGGUAUACUUUUUACUAAUUGGUCCAUGCCAAUACCUGCAAAAUUCAUCAAGACAAGAAAUUAAAUAUCUUUACACCUCUUUUUGACUAAAUUAAAACAGAUUGUUUUACUAGAAAUCAGAAAAGAAAGUGGAUACCUUGGACGAAAAUUUCACCAGCUUCAAUGAGUUCAGGUAUACAAAAGGAAGCCCAAAAGGAGCAAGAACUUAUAGUACGAAAAUAUAUGAGGGGAAUCCCUUUCUCUUCAGCAAAAUCACCGGCAAAUGUCAGGACCCCAUCAGCUAUGAUGCAACUAAUUGGUCUUCGGGUUCCAGAACCGAAUAAAUUCUUCUCUGACAUCAUCUGCUUGAAGAGUGGUCCUGUUAUGUUUUUGGUUGAAGUCAGGAUGUCCACGACUUGCUCGCCAACUCGAGGAUGGUCAUCAGGAAGCCCAUCGGUAAUGGACUGGAAAUGGAACCCAGGAUACUGCUUGAAACGCGAAACGACUGUGGUGUGCUUGAGGAGGCGGUUGUAGCUGAAAUCAGAGACCAUGAAUGUAAUGUCAAGGCCAGAAAGACACAGGAGUUCGGCUAGUUUGAGCAUGGAAGUCACAUGGCCCUGAACUGGCAACGGAAAAAUGAGUACAUGAGGAGGAAGUAUGGCACCUUGAGAAGCCAUUAGCAAAAACAAAAAAAUUGUAAUGAAAUAAGGAUAUUGCUGUUGCCAAUAUUUGUCACGUUCCCUAAUGUAGUUUAUGCAAUAAUGCAACUAAUCAGAGUCUUGCGGCAGAGAACAUCAAGUACUUUGUCCUACUAGCACAAGAAUCACAUCUAAGAAAACAUAAGACGCCACUGAUGACGUCAAAAUGGAUUAAGAUAGAAUUGUGCUCCACCUCACAAUAGUACAUGUGGGGGACCACAUGUGAGGGGUCCCCAUGUGAGGGGGCCGUAUAAGAUGUCACUUGAGACUUCAAAAUUUGGGUGGCACUUAUGGCAUGGUUUGAUUCUGUUUGCUUUUCUUUUCUUUUAUUUUCUUUUCUUUAUUUAUUUAUUUUUUAUUUUUGGAAUCAAGAAAACAACAAAAUGUUAAGCCCCUAUUUUGUAGAGACUAAAAUCAGAGUUUUAGAAGAUUUUGAUAAAAAUUGAUGAAAUGUGUGAUUAAAAAUUUGCAGAUCUCAUAAAAUAUGUAGUUAAAAUUAAUUGUUGAGUUUGAUUUAAAUUAAAAUCUAGAUUAUAAUUCCUAUCAAAUAGGGAGCUAUAUUGUAGCGAAAAUCUCUCGAUAAAUCUUGAUUCCAAACUCAGAAAACAAUCAAACGAACACCGAUUUACCUUAACUCGACCCAAGACUUUCGCCUUUACUUUGGACUGCCCAAACUCUCUUAAACCCCACAAAAGGAGAAGGGAUGGUGGUGGUAAUAGGAAGGAGAAGAAGAGGCAACAAUGGUAGGAAUCACUCCAACAAACCCUCCAAGCCGACUGCCCCUCAACCCUCUCGGCCCUCUCUUACUCAAGGCCCUCUCUUCCACACACACCCACUCAAUACCAUAGAGAAAACGAUUGGGAAUAUAUAUGGAUAUAUGUAGCAUAGGUUAGACACACAAUUUGGGCCAAAAACUUGUGCAAAAGGGCGUCUUAAAACCUAAACUAAUGGGCUACCAAUUAAUCCAACCCACAAUCUACUAAUUCAACAAAUACCCUAAAGCCCAACACUUACCAAGAUUUGGGCCAUCCAAAAGUGUAGUUCGUCUUCAAGCUGAGUCAAGUCCAUGGUGUCGAUAAAUAAUCCGACAACUGUUUUAAAUCACCACCAAGAUUAUUGGAUAUCAAAAAAUUCAACAAUCUCCACCUUGAUGCCCAAUAAUCUGCAAUCAACCAAAACACACAGUUUAUACUUACACAAUCAAGGUAAUCCAAUAAAAUUAGAAUCAUAGACCUUACCUUGUGUUUCGAACCGAAAUACAUAUCAUACUUGUUCCAUGUACUCACCAGGGCUAAGGUCAAGAAUACCCAAGUAAAAACAAGUAUUCACAAUGAACAAACAAUCAUGCGAUGAAGAUAUAGAGGAUAACACACACACAAAUCUUUUCAAAAGCACGUUCACAUAGAAGCACAGAUUAACACCUAGUUAAUCAACACACGGUCACGCACGUAUGCAACAAAUGCAUAAAUGACCCAGAUCGCACCACACUUAUCAUAUCCCAUUCCGUGUUACUCCCACCUUGAGAACACAUAUAUCUUCUCAUCGCCCAUCAUGCUCGCUAAACAGAUCACUUAACUCAUGUAUAACUGGUAAGUCACAAUAGAUCCUAAGCUCUCGGGAUAAUCCUCUAUCACCACAUCACUUCUCGCAACCUACGUAGAUAAUGGGACUCCACCUUACAAAAGUGAUAGAAGUAUCUCUCUCACACUCCACCUGUACAGGGUCUCUUUCACAGAUAAAGGAUUCUACAUAUUUGAUCACAUCUCCACUCGUGAUACAAAUGUCAAACUCUACAUCCCCUGGUGCAAAACACCAUGUACCCCUAGGCAUCUAUACUCCAACUUAACAAAAGAACUAGCUACUAAUGCAUCUCAAACUCACUAUGGCAAAUCAACACCUUUCCGCGACCACAAAGGUUACUCCAAUCACCAAUGCUCCAAAAUCCACAAAGGAAUGGUGGCACUUACAAAGAGAAUAGAAGAAAGAUUCGGUUACUUCACCACACUCACAAAGGAGGCUCAAAAAAAGAGAAAGAAGAUAACCCAAAAAUGGCUGCCUCACACGAUCUCACAAACCACACAAACUCACAAAGAUAAAGGAGAACGGUUGCCCAACUUUUUUCUCACUACCACAUUCUCGCAACACUCACAGAGCAAAUAGAGUAUGCCAUAAAUCUCAGCCCACUAUGCAUGCAAAUGUAUUACACAACGUAAUAAGAUCACCAUCAAUUCAUGCAAUUACACAUAUCAAACAUAUUGAAAAUGUAACACAUCAACAUUGCAGCAGAAUAAGUGAUCACAUACAUUCAAAAAGAAUUACACACGAAUGCAAUGCAAUAACGAGGUUUACUCUCUCAAUAAACCUCACUGGGUCAUCACUCNNNNNNNNNNNNNNNNNNNNNNNNNNNNNNNNNNNNNNNNNNNNNNNNNNNNNNNNNNNNNNNNNNNNNNNNNNNNNNNNNNNNNNNNNNNNNNNNNNNNNNNNNNNNNNNNNNNNNNNNNNNNNNNNNNNNNNNNNNNNNNNNNNNNNNNNNNNNNNNNNNNNNNNNNNNNNNNNNNNNNNNNNNNNNNNNNNNNNNNNNNNNNNNNNNNNNNNNNNNNNNNNNNNNNNNNNNNNNNNNNNNNNNNNNNNNNNNNNNNNNNNNNNNNNNNNNNNNNNNNNNNNNNNNNNNNNNNNNNNNNNNNNNNNNNNNNNNNNNNNNNNNNNNNNNNNNNNNNNNNNNNNNNNNNNNNNNNNNNNNNNNNNNNNNNNNNNNNNNNNNNNNNNNNNNNNNNNNNNNNNNNNNNNNNNNNNNNNNNNNNNNNNNNNNNNNNNNNNNNNNNNNNNNNNNNNNNNNNNNNNNNNNNNNNNNNNNNNNNNNNNNNNNNNNNNNNNNNNNNNNNNNNNNNNNNNNNNNNNNNNNNNNNNNNNNNNNNNNNNNNNNNNNNNNNNNNNNNNNNNNNNNNNNNNNNNNNNNNNNNNNNNNNNNNNNNNNNNNNNNNNNNNNNNNNNNNNNNNNNNNNNNNNNNNNNNNNNNNNNNNNNNNNNNNNNNNNNNNNNNNNNNNNNNNNNNNNNNNNNNNNNNNNNNNNNNNNNNNNNNNNNNNNNNNNNNNNNNNNNNNNNNNNNNNNNNNNNNNNNNNNNNNNNNNNNNNNNNNNNNNNNNNNNNNNNNNNNNNNNNNNNNNNNNNNNNNNNNNNNNNNNNNNNNNNNNNNNNNNNNNNNNNNNNNNNNNNNNNNNNNNNNNNNNNNNNNNNNNNNNNNNNNNNNNNNNNNNNNNNNNNNNNNNNNNNNNNNNNNNNNNNNNNNNNNNNNNNNNNNNNNNNNNNNNNNNNNNNNNNNNNNNNNNNNNNNNNNNNNNNNNNNNNNNNNNNNNNNNNNNNNNNNNNNNNNNNNNNNNNNNNNNNNNNNNNNNNNNNNNNNNNNNNNNNNNNNNNNNNNNNNNNNNNNNNNNNNNNNNNNNNNNNNNNNNNNNNNNNNNNNNNNNNNNNNNNNNNNNNNNNNNNNNNNNNNNNNNNNNNNNNNNNNNNNNNNNNNNNNNNNNNNNNNNNNNNNNNNNNNNNNNNNNNNNNNNNNNNNNNNNNNNNNNNNNNNNNNNNNNNNNNNNNNNNNNNNNNNNNNNNNNNNNNNNNNNNNNNNNNNNNNNNNNNNNNNNNNNNNNNNNNNNNNNNNNNNNNNNNNNNNNNNNNNNNNNNNNNNNNNNNNNNNNNNNNNNNNNNNNNNNNNNNNNNNNNNNNNNNNNNNNNNNNNNNNNNNNNNNNNNNNNNNNNNNNNNNNNNNNNNNNNNNNNNNNNNNNNNNNNNNNNNNNNNNNNNNNNNNNNNNNNNNNNNNNNNNNNNNNNNNNNNNNNNNNNNNNNNNNNNNNNNNNNNNNNNNNNNNNNNNNNNNNNNNNNNNNNNNNNNNNNNNNNNNNNNNNNNNNNNNNNNNNNNNNNNNNNNNNNNNNNNNNNNNNNNNNNNNNNNNNNNNNNNNNNNNNNNNNNNNNNNNNNNNNNNNNNNNNNNNNNNNNNNNNNNNNNNNNNNNNNNNNNNNNNNNNNNNNNNNNNNNNNNNNNNNNNNNNNNNNNNNNNNNNNNNNNNNNNNNNNNNNNNNNNNNNNNNNNNNNNNNNNNNNNNNNNNNNNNNNNNNNNNNNNNNNNNNNNNNNNNNNNNNNNNNNNNNNNNNNNNNNNNNNNNNNNNNNNNNNNNNNNNNNNNNNNNNNNNNNNNNNNNNNNNNNNNNNNNNNNNNNNNNNNNNNNNNNNNNNNNNNNNNNNNNNNNNNNNNNNNNNNNNNNNNNNNNNNNNNNNNNNNNNNNNNNNNNNNNNNNNNNNNNNNNNNNNNNNNNCCUUUUAAUAAUUUAUUUGGACUCAUUUGCACUUUUUAAAAAAUUUUGGGAGUAUGAUUGAAAUUUUAACUUUUAACUUUUUCUUUUCCCUUUUAUUGUUUUAUUUAAAUAUGGGGUAUAUUUGUCAUUUUACACCAGAAAUUUGAUGAAAAUGAUGAUUUUCACGAUAAAAUAUGAAGGUAAGGGUAAAAGUGUCGAAAAAUGAAAGAUAUUGACUUUUUGCACAAUAACAUUAAAAAGUAUGAAUGUUUUAUGCUAAUUACCCUUAUUUCAAAUAAAUUUGUUCUUCUUCACGAACGACAUUCUUUAAGAAUACUAAUAUGUAAUAUUUUUGCUUCUUCUGGAACAAUAUAUCAUCUUCUAAAAUAUUGAAAUUUUAAUAACAUGCUCUUCAAAAGUAGAUAAUUCCAUUUGGAACAUUUAUAUAGGAUGGGUUGUGUUUCUCUAGAACAACAAUACCAUAUUCAUUUAAUAUAAGCUCUUGUUUGUCAAUCAUUCUCUCACAUUUUACCACAUUAUUUUUUUUAUAGUACUUAUUUCCAACUCACAUUCUCCAUUAAAAUAAUAUUACACAUAUAUCAAAAAAAUUUCCUUCUUUUUUAACCACACAUUUCAACAUCAAUCACUAUUCCAUACUCCAAUUUUUGAAAUUAAAGGGCUACAAACAUGGCUUAAAUAUAAUUUCUAGUAAUGUUUUUUCAGGGGCACAAGUUAAAUCAAAAUAUUUAACCAAUCUAAAAAAUCACAUAAUAUAUAAUAGAAAUAGAAAGACUUCUAAAAAAUAUACUUACGUGAAUUUGAAAGUUUUAGAAAUUCUUGCAUAGUUGACAAAUCUUAUAUUCUUUAAAGAUACAAUUUUUAAAAAAAUAAAAUAAAUAAAUUAUAGUACUUAAAAUAUAAUAUUGUUCACAUAGCUAUUUUCUCACAAAUGAACCGUUGGAUUUUAAUAGGAAUCUUUGGAUUUGAAGCAAAACGAGUUGUGAACAUUUUAUCCAAAUUUCAUGAUGAUCGAACAAUGACACACAGAGAUAUCAACGUUUUGUCAUAACAGUGCAGGCUGUCCAGAUUUUGUGAAUUUCUGCACUAUUGAUUCCGAAAUAAUAGUGCAAUUAUUCCAUAGUGUAUAGAAUCACUAUAGAAUUAACAAACUUCAAGUUUGUGAUAAUGUCAAUUUUAUGAAUUUAGAGUACAUGCUAAAAGGGAGUGCUAAUAAUUUUUCUUUUGUCUACUUCUAGCCAUAUACAAAAGAAAUAUAAAGAUAUUCUAUAUUAUUUUCUUGUAUUAUCUCAAUGUCAUAUUAAUUGCAGCUGAUAUUUUAACUAGGCAAAUUUUUUCUGAAUUGGCUAAAAUAAAGUACAUCGUUAAUAUAUAAUUUUGUAUUAUUUGAUAAAAUAAUACAUGCUCUUCCGAAACUUUCAACGAAUUGGAUGCAACUGAUGUCAUAUUAACAUUAUUUUUACUAUUAUUAAGUCCAGAAAAUACUUUUUGUUUUGGAGAAUUGUUCGCAUUUUUGCACUAUCAAAUAAGCAUGUAUAAUGACAUUUCAUCUCCAAUUUUGUGAUGUAUACCAUUUGAGUAACUUUACAAUAAAAUACAAUUAAUUUUGAAGAUUAUGAUAAUAUUGUAUAAUCAUAUAAUAAUCAAUUAAGUGUUCAAACAAGUCAAUGUCAACAUGACAUUAAUUAUAUGUUUUUUUUUCGAGGAUAAACACUAAUUAAAAAUGAUAUAUUAUUCAAAAUAUGUGCUACUUUGAUAGCACAUCGUAUUUUAUUGUUAUAUCUUCAAAAGUAAUGUGUCAAAUCUUCUGCUAAAAUAUUGAAAAUUACGAUUCAUGCUUUUUAAGAGCGAUCACACAUUAUUAUAAUGAAUUAUACAAGGAUUAACUAUUCACGAGUAAAAAAAUUUAAGUUAGAUUGUAUUUAUUAUACUCUUCUGGAGCAAAUAAAACUUGACUAGCACAUCAAUAUAUAAAUACAUAUACAGAAGAAAGGACACAUAAGGAAAUUAAGUGUUUAAUUCGUGAUUUUACAUUGAAAUCAAUCGAUAUUCUUUUGAAAUAUUUGUGCUACUUCGGGGACAACAAAAUUUAAUUACGCAUCAGGAGCAAAAAUAUAAUGUUAGAUCUUAUAAAAUUAUGCUCUUCAGGAGCAAGAAAUAUAUAUAUAUAUAUAUAUAUAUAUAUAUAUAUAUAUAUGAAAAUUGAUGGAUUCAUAGAUAACGAACAUUAUUUAAUAUAUUAGUUGACAAAAUAAUUUAUUUGAUACACUACUUUAAAUUGAUUAAUCAAUUAAAUAUAUAAUCACAAACAAUAAAUAAUUGCUUACAGCCGACCAUUAAAAUUGUUACCAAAGUUGAUUCCGAACAUCGAUUCAAUGAACGUGAUUAUGUACACAUAUAUUAAGAGUUCCAUGCAAACGUCCUGCCUUGUAACGACUCGAAACCUAUGUCACGCAGGUUAUUCAAAUAAUUCCUUUAGCCAUUAUAAAUGUUGGUUGAUACAUUAUAAUACAAAAAAUAAAUAAAUAAAAUGAAGAACAUUGCACAAUAAAAUAAGUUAUUUUAUUGUCUCAUAAAAAUGUCAAUUAAUCUAAUCAAUAUAAAUCAAGCACUUAUCUUUUAAAAAUUUAAUAACGAUUUUGAACAUUAAAUACAUUAAAUUCUAAGUAGAAAUUUAAUUUUCUAACUAAAUACUAAAUAUUGAAAGAAAAACAUAAAUUCUUGGUGACCUCCAACUUCGAUCUAUCAAGCAUAUGUUAAAAAUAAUUUAAAAUAUGGAAUGAGUAUGUGAGCACGCUCAAUACAAAUUUCAUGCUAAUAUUUUCACAAUUCAAUGUAAAAAAUAAGUAAAGUAUUCACAUAACAUAAUUUUCUUAUGGGAUAGAAACUCAGCCUCUCGUUCUCCCUUGUGUCAUAGCCAUUCUCAAUAUCUACUUAGUGUAUGCAGCCACAUGACUAAUUUCUGUGUAAAUCUACAUAAUAAUACCUUAUGAUGUUACUCACAAGAUCCUGAUUUAAUUUAGAUUACAUAAUAACACAUAAAAUACUUUACUUAAAAUGUUAAAAAGUGACAAUACAAAACCACUGGGCAUUUAGGAAAAUUCAUACCUUACUCAUUAAAUUUCUUGUGUAUUUAAGCUAUUUAGAGCUGAAAAUUCUUGCAAACAAAUUUCAAACGCGCUAGAAAACUUGUUUUUUUCCCUUUUCCUUUAUUUCCUCUCUUUUCUCUCUCUUCCUCGCUUUCAUUUUUUCCUCCCUUUUAUCAAGACUAGUCUUUUGCCUAUGCAAUGGACAGAUUUUGUAAUUUUGAAGUUAAUGUUAGCGUGCUUGAAGAAUAGAUUCAUACCUCUUGUUUCUUUUGCAAGUUUUUCUCAAAUCGUCAAUGUGUAAUAUAGCAUUUGUUCAUGUGCUUGCUAACCAGAAAUUAAUGAAUAUUUAUAAUCAACUUUAUUAUCAAAUAUUAUGAAAGUGUAGGAAACAAUUACAAAAGAACAUAUUUUUUAUUAAAUGGCAAAUGGAACUUAAUAACAUUCGAAAAUUGCAACAAAAGGUGUAAUGUUGGAUGACAAAAAGCACGAACAUAAUAUAAGUAAUCAUAUUUACAGGAAAUGAGCUGUAGAAGAUGCAAAGAAGCAAAAAUCCUUACGUCCAAACAUUGACGGUGUCGUUAAUGGUGAUUAAGCUCGACAAAAAUGUUUUUAAUAGUGGUCGAUCUAUAAAUUGGAAGCGUAUAGGUUGUUCAGAGAGAGCCGAAGGCAAUGCUCGCUAUACUUCUUGCAAGAUGAUGGAUGAGAGCCGCUACGAGGAAAAAGGUAAGGGGUUAGAAAGUUGUUCCACGAGUUAUAUAAUUCAGUUUAAUUAUGUAUUAUUUUUAAAAUUGGUGAAAGAAGUUCAUAGCCUAGUCCAAGGGUUGUAGAAAAUACAAGAACCUAUAAUGGGAGACUUUUCCAAAAGAGAUUGAAAUGAGGUUAUAGCCGCAAACAACAUAAAAGAAUAAGAUAUGAUGUUAAUUUGUUACUCGCAGCAUGGACACCAGCAACGAGUACUUGAAGGGACAUCACUGGUCAUUUCAUCAAGUGGAGGAAAAAUAAUUGAGAGAAAAUUGCAUACUCAUAAGCUUCAUUUGAAGCGAUGAACAAAUAUUAACUUAUAUAUGCAUAUAGAUUCAUAACAGCAGCAAUACAAUACCUAUGAUGUUUUGUGAUAUGUAAAAUUCAAAAAAUUUCCCGAUUACAAACUGACUAUCAUUUUUUUUUCUUCAGAGUGCUGGGACGUAAGAAAUAGAAUAUGAUGUCAUAUAAAUUACGACCAAGGCCUACACCAUACUUCACUGUCUCACAGAAAACUGAAUGAAGCUUCUUGUCUUACUUGGAAUCUGAAAUAGUAUCUACAUUUGCAUCAUUGUCAGUGAUUGAAAGCAUAAUGUGAUUGAAGUCUCAGUAACACGUAUGGGUGUGGAGUUGGUGAAUAGAUGAAUUAAAGGCCUGAACAAAAUUGUAUGAAAGCUAUUGUGAAGAGUGAUUCCCAUUUUUUUCAUAACAUGUCAUGGCAGAGAGCUGUAUUCUUUGUUAACACUUUUGUGCAUGUGAACAAAAGUAAUAGAUGCACAUGAUGCAGAUAAGUAAUCUCCCUGUUCUACCAAUUCUUUAUAAUUUGGCAAAUAAAAAGAUGUCCUAUAAUUACCUUUUAUAGUUGAAAACUAUUAUGAACUUGGGCAAUUAAUCAAGGAAGAGUUUAAAAAGAUGAAAAUAAAAGCGGAUGUUUCAAUCGGUUUGGAAGACCAUGAUGAAUAAAGACUUUAAGUGGUGUUUCGAAUACUAAAAUUUCUUACCUGGAAGGAAAGUACAGCUCAGUUCAAGUAGAACACUUGUUCAGACUUUCUAAGAGAUAAACUUUUGUUUAAAUAUGCGCGGUCAAUUUUAGUAAUGCUACUUCUAGCUAGUUCUAGAUAUUCAACCUUAUUCUUUAUGGUUAAAGCAAUUCGAUAGAUGGCCCAUAGUCUAAGAGUGGGAAAGCAUUACAUUAGAAUUGCUGACAAUCUUAUAGAAGAUGUAGAGUAAAAUGUAUUUGAUUUGGAGACUGGAUUGGUUGUUUAUGACAAAUUACUGAUUCAGAGUGGUAACAGGUCCAAUAAGCAUUCCCUUCAUCGGAUGCUUUCUGAAGUUUCGAUCCAAUGUUCAUAGGAAGAUUGACCUUGCUUUUAGGUCCUCACAUUAAUGUAGAUAUAUGUCACUUUAUAUACCUAGAUCUAUAAGACUGAACCUAUCUAUCCAAACUAAAGGCAGAACUCAAUAAUUGUAAGUACUUCACAAUUUAACAAACAUCAAUGACUCUCCACAAACAGCAAGCUCUUGUCCUAAGGACAAUACCUAGCAACCACUUCUAAAAUUCUCCUAUCCUCAUCAUAGGACAUAGCCCAAAAUGUGUAAAAUUAAAAUCGUCAACUGAUGCAGGACAUUUUCCAGCACAACAAAAGAGAAAGAGACGACCAAUAAAAGAAACAGAUCCAAAUGUAUCUCGAAAAGCUUCAUUUUCUCUAAAAAUUGCUCGUACGUAAAUGCACAAAAAAAUAAAAGAAGCUAAUCAUUAGUCAGAAAUGUCGAUACAUAUUAAAUAAAAAGUUUUAUAUGAAGUUCAACAAAAAUUUCCCCGAUUACAAAAAUUGCAGAAACUAAGGAAAAAUGUGUAUAACAUUAUAAAUAGACCAAUAAAGUUAUAAGCUUUAAUAUCUAGAACAGAAAAUGGGGAUUCUUUUGGUCAAUAAAUUCACGAAUUUUAGUGCAUAGCCAAGAAAAUGCAAAUUAUGUCUUGAUGAAAAUUUUAAACUGGAUAGAAGUUCAAGUGGAAAGAACAAAUAAAAGAUUGGUAACAGAACACUUGGAAUAAAGCACGACGAUAGAACAUUUAAUAUAUAUAUCAUGUCAACGCUUUUCCAUUGCAGUUCUUCCAUACAUAAAACACAUUAUUUAUUAAAGGGCUGGUGAAUAAACGCAAAAAGACUUGACUUCGAAAAAUAAGGAAACUUUUAAUCACAAUAGCCUUCAAAGUUACCUUCCUAGCUACGAUUGAGAAAGUUCAAAAUCCCUGAACUUAAAAAUUUUAAAAAUAAAUAAAUAAAUAAGACCCAAAAAACUUGUAAAACCCAGUUAUCAAAUGCAAUUCUUACCGUGCUAAAACAAUUAAACGAAAUUUACUUCACAAAUAGCAUAAAUAAACAAAUAGAUGUCAUAAUAAUCAUACAGUUGAAUGUACAUAUGAAUGUACGUAAAUAAGGAGAAAGGAGCACCUACUAUCCUGUAACUCUAGAUGUCUACUAACGUGUUGUAUCAAAUAUUGAAAUUGGCUUAAAACAAGCAGCUAACAAUAAUAAGAAAAAAAUGAAAAAAAAAAAAAAAAAAAAACAAAAAAAAAAAAAAAAAAAAAAAUUUUAAAAAAAAAAAAAAAAAAAAAAAAAAAUCCAAACAUGACAAGCAAGAAAGAAUCUUAAACAUAAAAAUAUAUAAGACGAAAGAAACGAGGUAGUUAGCUGUGAAGCACCACAUUCUUCAAAACAGUUAAUUUGGUACAAGUUCUUACCCAGAAUUUAAAUAAUACAGCCACGAAAAGCACAUGUUUGUAAGUAUGAACAUGUUAGUGCAUGCAGGGCCGGUCCUGGGCUGAGGCAAAUGAGGCCUGCGCCUCAAGCCCAGGACCAUAGGGGGCCUCGUUUUGGCCCAAAAAAAAAAAAAAAAAAAUAUAUAUAUAUAUAUAUAUAUAUUUCCCUUCUUAAGAACAACACCAGCCGGCCCAAGCCAAAACCAAUUAUCCAGCCGGCCGAAAAGGCCUAAUUUUGGCCGAAUAAUUUUUUCCCCUCUUAAAAACAAGGCCAACCAGCCCAAAAAACCAAAACCAAUUAUCCAACGAGCCGACAAUCCAUUUACCUUUCAAAUCUAUUUACCCAACCCAAUUUAUAUAUCUAAUAUCCACUAUCCAAUCCAAUUAACCAAAAAUUCCCAAAAUUCAAUCAAAAUUUCCAAAAUUCCCAAAAUUUGCUCUGCUCAUCAGUCCACAAUCCGACAGUUAUCGCCACUCGCCUAAGUGUCGUCUUCUUCAGGUCAGUCGCCUCCUUUAGCUCCGACCACCGGUUUCUAAAUUUUUUAUAUUAUUUACUUCGUUGGAGCACUUGAAGACAUUACCAAUCUUGUAGUUAUGAAAUCCUUUUUGCCUACUGUUUUCUAGAAUAGAAUAUCAUUGAAUUUAUCUAGGUUUGUCUAGAGUUCCCAACUGAUUAUUACAAAUGCGUUUUUCUAGAAUAGAAUUUUUUAUUUAUUAUUAUUUAUUUAUUUUUUCAGCUUAUGUGGGUUUGUGAGUUGUUGAAAAUUUUCUUUUUUGUUCUAUUUCUUUACAAAUUAAUUAGAGAUAAGGAGCAUUGAAUCUUGUCAGAUACCAUUAUAUCUGAGUGGGUGUGGUGGGUGUUGGUUGGGAGUGCGGGGGUGGGAAGUGGACGAGGAAUUAAUAUCUAUCUCUCUCUUUUUCUCCUCAUUUUUUAUUUCUUUUUAUUUAUUCCAUGUUUUGUUCAGCUAAAGCCUAAACAUAAUUGAUUAAAAUUAGUAAACAAUUAACCGUAUAUUUUAUGGAUUCACAACUUUUUAAUCGUACAUUCUAUCAAUUUUAAUUAAAAAAAAUAUACUAGAAAUCAGAUGCUUAUUUAAAUCAUCAACGACUUAAUCAAUUUAAUUGUUUUAUGUAGAAAAAUAUAAGUCUGUUCAUUUUAAAAAUGAUGAAACGGUUGAUUCUUGGUCACUUAACAGUCAUUUUGGAUAGAAAUCAUCUAGAGGUCCUUCGAACGCAUAUUUAUUUAUUAAAAGGUUUGAAAUGUAUCAGCUACAAUUUUUUAGGUGUUAAACUGUCCUUUUUUAUUUAUUAUUAUUUAUUUAUUUUUUCAGCUUAUGUGGAUCAGUGUCCAAUAUUAUUUUUAUGGAAUGUUAGGUCAGUAGGUCUGUGGAUUUAUGUAGUGUUUAGUUUACUGAUUAGUGAUUAGAGCCCAAAGUAGUUUUCGAGAAUAGAUUUUUGUUAGUUCCAUGUAGGGCUGUAUAGUGUUUUCUAGAGAUUGUGGCCAAUAUUGUUUGCUGAUUUUGAUGGAUGAUCUCAGCAUGAACUUUUCUUUACUUCUCCACAUCUUCAGAAGUUGUAACUCAAGCUAGUUAUUAAAUCUGAUAAUCCAAAAGAAAACAACCAUGACAUGAGAUUUUUCAAGCUGACUUGCCCCUUCACUUUGCUAACAUCGAAACCAUAAACUUAUCCACAUGGAAGAGCAACUGCGAAAUAACUCUCCAGCAACUGCAAGUCGCACAUUUUCAGUUUUACAUACUAGUUUUCAUUGAGUUAUUAUGAUUUAAAAUUACAUUUCAAUUCAUAAGAUUGAAUUCUAUUCAUUUACUUCAAAAUAUAAAUUGUAUAGGCUUUAUGUAUUGUAAUUGAUUCAAUUGUGUUCGGAGUAAAAGGUGAAAUUGAAUCGUUCUUCUUUUGGCUUUUGUGUAAAGCUAUUAUCAUAAAUUUAGUUGAAGAGUGCAAAUUAUUAUUGUCUGUAGACUGGAAUAUGAUGGUAACAAUUUCACAAGACACUUGCAAAUUAAGCAUUUGACUAAAUCAAUAAUUCAAUAGUGAUCCCAUUUUUACUCGAGACUUUUACAUCAUCUGCAGGGUAUUCCAAUGUGUAACGACCCGGAACUCUCGUCCAAACCGUUAGCUUACGUACUGUCCGCUUUGGGUGAGUCGUGCGCCCACUUACCCCCCACGACUUUCUAUCGCAUUUCCCAAGAUUCGAACUCUUGAUCUCUACAUAAGGUAGACUUAAGUUGAAUCGUGGUACCAAUUGGACCAAUUGGAUGAGAGGUCCGGAUCGUUACAAAAAAAAGCGCAUUUUUUUGUAACGACCUGCUCACCUAAGCCAUUAGCUUACGUACUGUCCGCUUUGGGUGGGCCUUGCGCUCACUUAUCCCUCACGACUUUUCUUCGCGUCCCCUAGGAUUCGAACUUCUGACCUCUACAUAAGAGACUUAAAUCCCGAUACCAAUUGGGCAAGUUUUUGUAACGAUCCGGACCUUUCGCCCAGCCGUUAGCUUACGUACUGUCCGCUUUGGGUGGGCCUUACGCCCACUUACCCCACGGCUUUCUAUCACGUUCCCUAGGAUUCAAACUGUUAACCUCUACAUAAGAGAGACUUAAGUUGAAUCGCGGUACCAAUUGGCGCCAAAAUGACUCGUGGUAAAGACAAGAUAGACUUUGAGGAAGAUUUGUUUUUUGAUCUGGGGGAAGUUCUCGCUCCUUCACCUCGUAAACUCAGUAGUCUACAACUAUCAUUGCUUUUGUUCAAUUAUAAAUAAAUAAGCACUUUGAUGGAGAUUUGUAGCAUCAUUCAAGUAAAUACAGAUUGAGAUCGUAGAAACAUGAGCUUGUGAUAUAGCUACACCUAAUUCCAGACUAGUUAAUGCAAGAACUAUAAAUAAAGGACCAGGAUCUCUUAUGAAACGCCCAAUUGGUACCACGAUUCAACUUAAAUCUCUCUUAUAUAGAGGUCAAGAGUUCAAAUCCUAGGGAACGCGAUAGAAAGCCGUGAGGUGUAAGUGGGUGCAAGGCCCACGCAAAGCGGACAAUACCUAAGCUAGCAGCUCGCCCCAAUUGGUACCACGAUUCAACUUAAGUCUCUCUUAUGUAGAGGUCAAGAGUUCGAAUCCUGGGGAACGCGAUAGAAAGCCGUGAGAGGUAAGUGGGUGUAAGGUCCAUCCAAAGCAGACAGUACGUAAGCUAACGGCUUGGGCGAGAGGUCCGGAUCGUUACACAGUGAGCUAUAUUAAGCAUCGAUAAUGGGCUCUAGAGUUUGGUUCAAGAAUAUAAUGAGCAAAAAGAAAGUGAGAGGUGACAGAUCUCAAAAAUUGAAGGUUUGCUGCUCUUAAAUAUUCUUAAUUCCCUUAUCACUAGAUCUUAGUCUUGGCAAUCUUAGACAUCAUAUAUUAUUUUAUAUAAAUUUUUGUUUCAGGCUCGUGAGUUGUGAUGAGAUCAUUCUCAACGGUGUAAUUCCACAAUUAUCGUCAAAAUUCCACUUCUCAGAUAAGCAAUGGCUUGCCCUAACUUGUUAUUAAAGAGAUUGAAAAUGUUUGAAGCCUUGUCAGCUUAUAUAAUUGCAGCUUGGUCGGCUUAUAUGAUUGGUUAUUGUGAGAUGAACAAUUGCACAGAUGCACAUAGUAACUGUAUUGGAAAUUGUAAUUGUGUGAUGAUUGAGAUAUUUUGUAAUUGUUUUUUAGGUCAAUUAUUGGACAUUAUACACCGUUGAAUUUUGUAUUUAUAUAAAUCGUUUCUAUAAUAUAUUUAGUUGUUUUAAAGUUAGUUUUUUAAGUUAGCAAUGGAUAUAAUAAUACGCCGUUGAAUUUUGUAUUUACAUUGCUUUCGCUGGGAGGCCUAAUUUACACAUUUCGCUUCAGGGCCCAUCAAUCACAGGACCGGCUCUGAGUGCAUGCAACAAAUCAAAGAACAUUUCAAAAUAGAUGCAGGAUUAAUUAUUCCUUCGAAAUGCAUUAUGAGUACAGGUUUAGUUCAUCUAUUAUGAUGUCAAAAACAUCUUAAUGGUGAAAGCUUAUAUUGCUCGAGAAGAAAGAUUCUAUAAACUAGUGAAUGCAAUGCAUGAAACAUACUACAAAGAUAAAUGAUAAAAGACUCUAGAAUUAUAGUUUAGUGGACUAAUGUGCAACUGAUACUUCCACCAUAUAAAACCAUAUAUAACUGAAUUUACAUAGAAAUGCAACAAAUUUAUUGGAGCAAGAUAAAAAUUUUAAGGGCUAAUAUACCUUGGGAUGUUCCUCUACUUAAUCAUCCUCAAUGCUGUAGUGUUUUGUUGCUGUAUAUGAAGAUGCAACAUCUUCAUGCCUCCGACGAUCGAUAUGCUACAUUCUGAUAAAAUGAAUUUAAACUUGUUUAACACAAUAUAAACACAAGAUGCAAAAGGCUAAGAAGUUCUACAAAUUACAAAGUCUACAACAAAUUAUGCCCAUUGUUACAAGAUUAACAUAAUAUAGUAAACUCUUGAGCAGAAAAGGAUUUCGAGUUAUUUAAUGCACAUAAUACAACAUAAUUAUGCCAAGACAAUCUUUGAUCAGUAUAAAUAACAGAAUUGAGAGCACACCCAGAAUAUUAUUCAAGUUGCGAACAACCAAAAUCAAUUUCUCAAGACCACUGAUGCUAUUAGAGCAGUUAUGCAUGAAAAGAUACAACCAAAUAAAAUUGAACGACAAAAGGAAAACACAAAAGACAAAUAUUCUAUCAAAAGAAAAAGGACAAAUAUACCAUCAAAAGAAGAAAUCACAUUAUAAUUUCAAUGUCAAAACAAAACAUACAAAGUAAGUUGAAAUUCAUACCCACUCAAAAGAAAAAACAACCUCAGCGCAAGAAAUAACUAAAACUUUUGAAAUUAUGUAUAAACCUCAAAAAACCUAAGCAAAUCAAUACAUAUAAAAGGAAUUGUACCAAAAGAAAAUGAUAAACAAAAGAAAAUUGAUUCACGCAAUUAAACAAACAAACAUCCUAUCGUUACUUGUACCACCAACACCAACUCUAUUUUCCAAAGCCCUAUUGACAACAUUACCAUCAACAUGUAGUCAAUUCAGUGAAAUUAUCAUAUCACCAAUAUUAUUUCUGCUAAAAUACUUUUAACUAUGUAUCAUCAAGAAAUUUUAAGUACAUAUAAAAAAGAACUAAAAUUUUUGUGCAUAUAUUCAACAAAGAUAUACUUUACCAUUUCAUACCCCAACUUACCCAAAAUAAAUACAACGCCAAGAAUCAAUAGCCCAAAUCUUUACAAGAUCCCAAUUUCUUGUUCACAUUUUCAUAAUUUUUUAAGAAUUAAUCAAAUCAAAACAAAAAAUCCAUAAAAAGAAGUAGCCCAGAAAUCAAUAUUUAAAAAUUAUCACACUUUUCCAUUUUUGAGUUUACUAAAUGGCAACUCGUAACUAAGAAAAUCAGCAGCCCUCAUUUAGGAACUUUUGACUUGAGAAAGUGCAAAUAGGGAAAUGAAUUUAAAAGGCGUCAUUUCUGAAAUCCGUCUAUAGUUAAAGAAUCGAAGGAGUCUGUGAAAUGCUCAUUUAAAAAGAUUUCUACCCAAAGAAAUUGACAUUAGUUAGUGCAUAUGAAAAUUAGUGCAGAGGUUAAGGAAAUAUUGAUCUUGAGAAUUUUCUUUAUUUUUCUAGAGGUUCUAAUUAAAGGAAAAUUAGAACAAAUCUGAUGACUCCAUGGGGGCUGCCAUGUCAUAUUUGAAAACAAUUAAUUAUCUAUAGGCUUAAUUUUGAUAGUAACCUUUUCAAUACUUCAGCUUUUUUUCAUAGGUGAAGAGAGAUAAUUGGUCAAAAAAGAAUUCAGCCUAAAAAGGCAAAUUAAAGAUUGGCAAACACAAAUUUGAAAGAGUACCACGUUUGUUUACAUUAAUAGAAUAAUAUGAUGGAGUUAUAUGUGGAUAUGAUAUAACUAUUUCUAUCAUCUAAAGGAUUUUCUAUAACUAUACACCAUGCAGAAAUAUAUGAGUUUCAAAAUAUCUAACUUUAAAACUAACCAAAAAAUCAGAAAGAAACAAUACCAAAAAGAGUACAGGAUAAGCAUUUGUGACUCUGUCCUUGGGCACAUACACAUUGACUACAUAUAAAAAGUAUAUGAUAAAAAUCUCAAAUUCUAUAAACAUGAAAUCAAUAGAUUUAAAAAAAAAAAAAAAAGGUCUAUAUAAUGAUUAGUGAUCACUCCAACAAAAAUCAUUUUGAUAAGGUAAUUAUGCAGAAAAAUAUUGGAGGCAACACAAAUCCAGGCACCCACAAAAACCAAUUAAGAUUUUCUUUUUUCCCCUCAUGUUGAGAUUAGAGUACAAUGGGAAAGUACAAUGGUCUUCAACAUAAUGAAACUGAGAUAGGCUACAAGAUAUGAGAAACUAUUAAGAGGAACUCAUAAUCAACACAUCGACAAAUCUAAUAUACCUAAUGCAAAUGCAGAAAUACAAAGGUUCAGGGUAAAGGAGGAGAAUCAGUACAUACCUACUCAUUAGCCAAUGGUGGAAGGCCACCAAGAUAUAGUCAACUUGCAUACCUUGUAGCCUAGGGAUGAAGUAAAGAUAAGGAAAAAAAAGUCAAAAUUACAUAAGCAAGUAAAGGAGAAGCAUUGCCUGUUUUUACCUGCUGACUCGUGGCUUGGAUUGGUAACAAUGGACUAUAACUCACCUGGUAAACCUAUUAGCAUGCAUUGUAUUUCGUGAGAAAAAUGAUGGUCACCUUCUGAAAUUCAUAAAGAUAGUGCAAAAGAAAAAGAGAGGGCUACUAAUGAACUCAGUGCACCUGAGUUGUCUCAGAGGUAUGCGACGCAACAUUCCAGAAACUACUUCAAGAGCAAAGGAAUUCCUUUCAAAUGUUAAUAGACAGGCAAGCCCGCUGUUUUUUCCAUAUCAUUAAGUUUUGUGGGCAUCUACUAUGAUGCAGUCAAGAUCUUAACCAAGUGGAUACAUUUUUAUUUUGGUUGCUUAGUAAAAACAAUAUGAAAAAUGGAAUCAAAUUCAUUAAUUAUUUGAUGCAAGAAAAUUUUAACAUUCACGUAAUAGAAAAAUAAUUUAUUUUUUUUUAUUUUUUUUAAGUUUCAUGAUUGUGGCUAAAAUAAAAUUACACAUCAGAAGAGGAAAAUGAGAAUAUAACAUCAUUCAGAAAAAUUACAAGAUUUAAAACAUAUAUUGAACACCACAACUGCAGAAACCAGUUAACAUAUACACAAUAGGGAGGAAUUCAACAAAGAACACGCAAAAAGAACAUCAAAGGAAGAGACUUGAACUAUCCUAGUUAGAUUUCUUAAAAGAUCGAACAAAAAAGGAAGACUCAUAUUGAAUACCACGGCUGUAGAUACCCGAAAACAUAUACACAUCACGAAGAAAUUCAACAAAAAAUACACAAAAAUAACAUGGAAAGAACAGAGUUAGGUAUUUUAGGUUCGAUUUCUUAAAAAGAUCCAAAAAAUUGAAAAAAAAAAUUGCAAUUCAAUAGCCCAACUAAACAAACGGAAAGCAAUAUAGAAGAUAUGUAGAAAUUCAACAAGUGAAAUUGUACUUACAGGUGUAUAUCUCGGUUGACUACAAAUAAUUUGGGUUUAUUCUCUACGAUCACAAGACGAAAGUGAUAUUAGGAUUAAGGGAAAGAGAUAAUGGGUUCGAAGAGUCAUAGUUCCAUAUUUAUGUGUAUUCCCCCCCCCCAAACGGCAUAGUAUAGGGAAAGCUGGUUGAUGGACAGAUGGAACCGGAUAUGUGUGAAAAGGAUGUUUCCAAAAUGAAUAGUGAAAGUGGAUCCUCUCUUUUUUAGGAAUAUUGAUGAUAUAAUAUAUANNNNNNNNNNNNNNNNNNNNNNNNNNNNNNNNNNNNNUAUAUAUAUAUAUAUAUGUAUGUAUGUAUGUAUGUAUAUAUAGAGUAAACAUGUAAGCAUCAUGACUCACAUUUUGAACUACAACACUUGACGAAGAAAUUACUCGUCAAAGCUAUCGUCCCAAAAGUUGUAACGCAUCAAGCUAUUGCACUACCAUACCCCCAAGAAUAAAUGCAACUUUAUGUCCCAUCUUAAUAUAAUGUACAAAAAUGAAUGUUAACUGCAUAUGGUUAAAUUAACUACGUAAAUCAAAUCAUUUAUCAUAAGCAAGAGCAGAGAAGGAAAAACUCGUAACAAUUCGAAAAGAAUUAAUUUACUGAAUGAAUGAAUGAAAGCUCAUUAAUCUUAUCGUUACUACAAAACAUGAACUUAUAUUUCUAUAAAACAAUAUAGCUUGAGGAUUUCCCUGUUACGUCAGUUGUGAUUUCAUCUCUAAACCAACUUCACACCCACAAAACUGAUUCAGACAUUUAUGCUUAGCAUAAUUGAAGAUUUACCUCAUGAUGUUUUUGAGAAGCUUGGUGUACAGGCCAAAGAGCAUCGAAUUUGAUGACAACAUCACAAAUUCUACAGACCAGUUGAUCAUAUUCAUUGUACCUACAUUUACAAAUAGGAUUAAUUGUCUAGCUACAAGUUGAAAGAAAAUAUGAUUAGAAAUUUCAUUUCAAUGAUUAUCUAGUGCUUCUACAGAUAAAUUCAUUACAAAGAUGUCAAAAUUUCCACAAGCAAACUAAUCCACAUUGGAGCUAAGUUCACAUGACUCAAGUGUCCGAAUGUUUCCCAUUUUUCAUUAGGAUCCUAUCUUCAUCCAAAAGAGAAUGCAUAUAUGUAUAUACAUAGAACAUAGAUACACAUUUUGUGUAUCAUAUCAGAAAUUAGGAAAUUACUACAACUACAAAAAUAAACAAUUUCUUUAACGUCACAAAUAACUAAAAUUUCCACCAUAAAGAAUAGGCCGAUCACUAAAAUUACUUGGUUUAAUCACAAUAUGUAUUAUGAGUGAACAAAAAAUGCAAAACAUACGAACAAAACAAUUUGUAUAAGUAGAAUAAACUAUAGAUGGAAUUUAGAAAAAAAAAUAAAAAAAUCCUAACCAAGUGGUGCUUCUCCUCUUCCUUUUUAUCGAACCAUUGUGUUGAAUCCUCGGUGUUUGAUUCAAGAAUUAACUUCAAAUCUAGAAAAUAUACUUUUAUUUUUUUAAUUAAAAUAUCCCUUUUAUAUAUUCUAACUCCAAAACUUUUACAUGCUAGUACAUUGUAAGGCAACUAAAAUGUAGAAAAAAAAACUUAAAAAUUAACAAAAUGGCAUAGGGUCAAUUGGUUGGUAACAUUAUCUUCUUGAUCAUAGAACAUGAUUCGCUGGGAACUAUUAUUACUUCAAAUCUAGAGAAUAUGCUUUUACUUUUCAAUUAAAAUAUCCCUUCUAUAUAUCCUAACUCUAAAACUUUUACAUGCUAGUACAUUGAAAAGCAACUAAAAAUGUAGAAAAAAAUAAUAAUAAUAAAUUAAUUAAGAAAUAGCAUAGGUCAAUUGGUUGGUAACAUUAUCUUUUUUAUCAUAGAAUGUGAUUUUCUGAGAACCAGUCAAUAAUGUUACACGCAGAAAUAUUGAUGAUACACAUAGAGUUAAUAGUAUUUCAUAACUAAUUGAUUGAACAGCAACUUGCAUCCACAAUGGAAAAGGCAUUAUGGGUCAUUAGCCAUGUGUACUUGUUAAAAGAUAACCCACUUACCUAUUACAUUAUUACAUUAUUAGAUAGAAUAUAAUCAACAAUUCAAAAUCAAGAAUAUUCUAAUAGAAUCCUUGAAAACAACAAAAGAAAAACACUAAAGAAAAUAUUACUAUGGAAGUGGGUAUGGUGGCUUGGCCUCUGGUUCAGAAAGGUUGAGUCUUUCCAAUUGAAGGAUAGUCUCCACAAUAAAGACCAGACCCAAUAUCAAUAGCAAUGGAACAUGAAUUAAGAAGCUACAACAUAAUUAAAAUUUCAGCUCGAAUUCAAAUAUAACAUGUUCAUAACGUAAGGAUUUAUAAAUAAUUAGACACAAAAAGAGAUAAUGAAUUAGCAAAUAGACCUGACAAUUGGCAAUUGGGAUGAAAAAAAGAGGAAGAAAGAGCAAAAAUAGUAAGAUGAAAAUAUGGUGACCAUCUACAACAGUCUAAGCAUUAAAUACUCAAAUACAUAAAGUGUAAGAAAAUUUGAUGACUAUAUAUAACAUAACAAUCAAAGUUCAAAAAGGCCAAAGAAUGUAAAAUAAACCUUCUUUUUCUCAAGUUUGUCGUGCCCAAAAAUGGUUAAUCUUUCUUCAACAACAUGUAAGUGUUAUGCCUUAAAUCCAAUCGAUUUAGGUUGUAAACACUUUUAAUGUGUUUAAUACAUUUAUAUUUUGGCAAGAUCUGUUAUUUAUUUAAAUUAAUAUUCUGAUAAAUAACAUUAAAUAAUAAAGUCUGAAGAUUCAAGUUUAAAUGAUUUGUUAAUCAAAAGAAGUUGUGAUUAUGAGAUACAAAUUACAUAUGAUUGGAUCUUGAAUAAUUCAUGGUCGUAAGUAAUAAUGAAAUACGGAUAUCGUUAUUACGGAUAAACCAUCACGUGUGACAUUUCUUACUUGUGAAGUAAGGAGCUGACCUCAAGAGCUACAGUGUGGUGACACUUAAAUGAACGCAUGGAUGUUUUGUUAUAGAACGAAAUAUUGGAGAUCCACUAAGAGAUUUCACAUGAAUAACUAUCUAAGUGUCAGUAAUUAAUCUCUAACUUUCGGUAGUGAAAUUGGUCCUUUCACUUGAGGUCGUCAUAGUGCCUUAUAUGAGGAUAGUCAUGCUUUGACGGUGUUGGAUCUACCAAGGGCAACUAAUACAGUAUCCUUCGAGUAUGUCAAGAGCCAUAUAAAGGUUGUGAAUGACCAAUUGAGGAUUCGUCACUCUUAGAUAGUAAGAGAUUGUGAUUUGUAUUUCGUUCAAUUAAGUCAAUAACGAAAUCAUUGGUCAAGGUAUACUCAUAAGUCGAAAAGGAGUUUUCGACUCACGUUGACUUAAUAGUAGAAUGAAAGAUAUGAUCGAUAAUCGAGAUUGACACACUUCAAUAUCUCGUAAUUGAUCGGAUCAUAUUGACGAAGGGAUUGUAGUUUCAUGGUAAACAAACAAGAUUGAUUUUGUCAUACCACGUGACAUUUUCCCUCAAAUGUGUUACCCUAAUGCAUUGCUAGAUGUCAAUCUAGGACGGCGAGUGUGAAUUGGUGAUAAAUUAAAAGGGAGUUUUAAUUUAUUAAUUUUGAUUAUAUCAAAAUAAUAUUUCACAUCGUUAGGUAUCGUGAUCGGGAACCUAAUGGAUCGUACACAAAAGAGAAUUGAAAGAUUGCAAUUUGUCAAUUAAUUAAUUUAACAAUCGUUGAAUAAAUUAAUUAAUUAGAUUGGUUAUUUAUAGGCCUGAAUUAAUUAAUUCACGGAUCGAAUUUAAUUAAAUGAAUUAAUUAAAUAUUGAACCGGAUCGGACUAGGCCAAGCCCGUUUGAGCUUAUAUAAAUACAUGGCUAAGGUUUUUAAUCUGUAGAGAAUCUCAUAAUUCUUACUAGCACAAGAGUAGAAAACCCUAAUAGUUGCAAUCUGCUCUCUGUGUGGAAUUCAUUGGAGACUAGACAAUUGGACAACUGUGGGAGGCAAAUCCAAGUUGUUGGAACAAAGAUAACGCAAAAGAGUUUGCAGAUCUAAGAAAAUCUAUAACUUUUACACAAUUCCAAUCUAAAUACAAAGAUGAAUCCUAGUGGGAUUGAAAUUAAUUUUUAUUUUAGCUGUGCAUAUUUAAGUAAAUUCCCAACACAACCUUAGUUGAAAGACCCUCACUGGUAGAUCUUAGAUUCUCAAACACUUCCUCAAAUGGGAAUGUUGACCUAUAACUACUGUAAAACAAUUUACUCGAAAUAGAGUAUGAGUCUAAACAGCAAGCUUAAAUCCAUCAUGAAGCAUAAUCAGAAAAACCUAAAAAGUAAACAAGAAAUCUUGAUUUAAAGUUUGUGAUUCUUGAUGCACUGGAGAAUUCGUACCAAAAAAUAAAAUAAAAUUAAAACACGAUGUAUACAAACAUAAAAAUAAGCCCAAGACUAUAAAUUCUUAACCAACAACACUGAACUAAAAAACUCUAAUAUAUACGACCAAAAAAUCAAUUGUAAUCCCAAAAAAAAACAAUGGAUUCUAACCCAACUCAGACAAUAAAGAUAGAGGCUUCAAUUCCACCGAUUAUAACCCUAAGCUAAUCUAAACAUGAAGUUUUCUGAAUUUCGGGGAAACUUUCACAAAAUUUGAAACAAACGUACAGGAAAAUAAAUCAAACCCUCAAGAACAUAGAGUUGGAAAAAUGAGACAAUACAGAAAGAAAAAGUAUGAGAAGAAUAUACUUGAGGUUGACACUCUUCAAUUUCCUAUAGAAAUAUCCUCUAUUUGUUGUAGAUUUUCAGCAAAGGUCGAAGAAAAACAAUAAAAAAAUUGAACGCUUAACUAUAUCAACCUAAAGAAACCGAAAUAAGAAUGCACAAUGACAGUAAAAUGGGGGUGAGGAUUCUAAUUGCAAGUUUAAAGAUCAAUUUAAGGGGAAUUAUUUGUAGAUGUUUUGUAUGAGAAUUGAGAGAGAACAGAGGAAAUUAGGGUUAAUGAAACAAGUGCGAAAAGAAAAUGGAUGGUUUUGUCAUUUUAUUCUAAGAAAGUAUCUAGAAGGGUAUUUAUAAGUGUAAUUAGAUAUGGAUAGUUAACUAAUUAAAAUUUUGAAUAUGACUAUUAAUUCAAAUUUAUAUUGAUAUUUCAACAAAUUUAUCAUGAAAUUCGAAUUUAAGAAAAUUUUAUCUGAGGAUAAGAUUUCAAUGCGGAUAUAUACAAAUUUCAAGUUUUAUAUAUAUUGGUGCAAAUUGUAGCCCACUAUUAGAUGUGAAAGCUAUGAUUUGGUUACGAGACAUACCUUGCAAAUUCUAACACAAAAUUUCAAGUAAACGGAUAUUUUGAGCGCAAACACCAGGGAAUUAGGUCACCAAAAUUGAUUGAGUGGUUUGGGCCUCCCAUUCAUCACUAGGGGUGGGCAAAAACCGACCCAGCCCGAUCGAUCCGACUGACCCGACCCGAACCGAUCGGGUUGGGUCGAUUUUUUAUUUUUUAAGGCCGAUUUUCGGUCCAUGUUCUGAACAGUCGGUUCGGGUUGGGUCAGGUUGCGGGUUGGCAUCUCAAAAUCGACCCGACCCGACCAAAUAAAAAAAAUGAAAAAAAAACGACAAAACGCGACUUAAAACUGAAAAUGGAAAAAGCCCUAAAUAAUCAACAUACUACAGACCGAAUCACCGAACCUCACUUCUCUGUCGCCUUAUCUCUUCCCGUCACCGACCCAAAUUGCCGACGCUGAUCCAGAUGCUGGCUUGCUACCUUGCUGGUCAUCGUUUUGUCUAGGUUGUCCACGCGUAGGGUAAGUGUAUUUCUUCGUUUUCGAACACUUUCUCCUGUUCUCCACACGUAGGUUGUCAGUGUAAGUUGUCUAACUGUGUUUAUGAGUGAUUUACGAGUUAACUAUGUAGAUCUGAGUAGAUUUAUGAGUAGAUUUACGUUGUUGCUGCCUUGACUCCUUGAGUACAUUUACGAGUUAACUGUGUUUCUCCGGGUGCAAAAAUCAGUUCUAGAUUUGUUGCAUUGUGUUUGAGAUUCAGAAGGUGGAUUUAGUCCGAUAGCAGAAAUUUGUUUUUAAAUUUAAAUGGACAUGGAAUAAAGGUAAAAUUUGAACUCGCAACCUAUGUCUGAGCUUGAGCACCUGGCUUAUGUUGGUCUAAAUGUCUAAAAUUGAUUCUACUGAAAGAUAUCCAGCUUUGACAGUGUUUUACUCCUUCCAACAUAGAACAGUGUGAAAUAGAGCAUGUUUGGGAUGGCUGAAGCUAAAAAAUAAGCUCCAAAUGUGUGGCUUAUUUGAAUGUAGGUGGAUCCACUAAAUGUAAGCCACUGUUUGAGGCAACUGUUUGAAUAGGUGAUCCCUUGAAAUCCUUGCAUACAGCUAUUGGAAGUGACUGUUAAAAAAUGAACAGAUGUACCUAUUCAAAAACUUUUGAAAAUAAAAUUCUCUUUCAGGGGCGUUGCCCCCGAGCCCCCACAAGGGGCGCUGCCCCCGCGACUUGACCGGACAGGUCGAACCCCGUUGCGCAGCGGCAAAUACUAAUCCGGGCGGCAAAUCAUUCGCAAAACAAAAAAUCAAACACAUGCAAAAUAAUGAAAAAUAUCUAACAACGCAUGUGGUGCUUAUUUUUAAGCCUAAGGCGUCCCAAACAUGCUCAUAAGCCGGCAGUGGAAUGAAGAGAUAAACUUGUAAUGUUAAAAUAGAGCAGAGGUGUAGCAUAGCAUAAUAGUGAGCCUUUUUCACCACUUUCUCUAUUAUGAGUAAUGAUGAUGCUUUGACAGUUGCCUUAAUAUUCUCAAAGAGGAUAAAAUUACUUGAAAAGAGUAUCGACUAUUGACGCAGUCAUAUGAAGAUCAAAAUAGAAAAUAGUAUACCAAGUCCAUAAAGACAUACUGGAACCGUCUUUAUAAGUAUAUUGUUUGGUUUCUUUAAAUAUAUCUGCCUCUUCAAUCUGUCCAAAGAGCAGAACACAAAGAUGGCAUUAAGGAUAGGAAUGGCAGAGUGUGAAUACAGCUGGACUAAAGUAUUAGGAUCCUGACAAAAAUAUAUGCCUUCAAAAUUGGAAGCGUGAUAAAAAAAUUACAAUUUUAUGACAUACAGUUAUCUCAGUGAAGCAACUUACCUACAAGUUUUGAGGAGUCUCUCAAUCAACUUUCUGUCAAUGAGGCUAUCGUCAACUGCUAAUACAUGGAACUGUGUUAUCUUUAAAAAAAUUUCUGAUUUGCUAAUACUGUAUUAUCUUUGGUUGUAUAUCUUUGCAGAAUACUGCCUUAGUUUUAGAAUACUGUAUUAUCUUUGGUUGUUGUUAAUAUGUUACUUCUGAUUUACUGCUUCUUUGGUUGUUGUUGUGUCUAAGGUUGCAGAAGACAUGCUCUUGUUAUUCAGUCUUCUGGAAAUUGCAGUCAGAAUAACGUGCAUUGUGCUUAAGUAAUGGACUCAUGUGCAAUAAUUUUCCUUGUAAUGCAUUAAUAAUUGUUAGUUAAUAGAUGUAUUUUGGGGUAUUCAUGAUUUUUGUGGUAUGUUGGUAGAUAUGGAUGUACAGGAAGAGUGUGGCACACAGGCUCAAUGAAAAGAUACCGAUUUGCAAUCUGGUCUUCCUCCACGUGCUCCGUCAACAUUGGGUAAACGAAAAACUAACAGAUUAUCUUCUUAUGUUUGGGAUCAUUUCACUCUAUUAGGCUCAAGGGAUGAUCCAAAUGUUAGGUGUAAGUGUAAUUAUUGUGGAGUGGAUUAUGCUUGUGGCACUAAGAAGUGUGGUACUAGUACAUUGAGUAAUCAUUUGACAAAUAAAUGUAAGAAAUAUCCUGGUAGAUUGGUGGAUAAGAAGCAGAAAUCCUUAUCAUUUGAGAACAAAGAGGGUGGAAGGAGCAAUCUUAUUGCUGUUGGUCGAAGCAAGGAGGAGUGUAGAGUUGCAUGUGCUAAAUGAUAGUUUUGGAUGAACUACCUUUUAGGUUUGUUGAAGCUCGUGGUUUUAGGCUCUUUUGUAGUGUAGCAUGUCCUCAGUUUCUGGCUCCAUCUCGUAGGACUCUAGUUAGAGACAUUUAUCAGUUGUAUUUGGAUGAAAAAUUGAAAUUGAGAGAUGUCUUUUCUUUUCACCGUCAAAGGGUUUCCCUUACAACUAAUAGUUGGACGUCUAUUCAGAAUGUUAAUUACAUGUCUCUGACAGCACACUACAUUGAUUCUGAUUGGACGCUUAAUAAGCGUAUUUUGAAUUUUUGUGUCAUUCCAAAUCAUAGGGGAGAAACUAUUGGAAAAAUGAUUGAGACUUGUUUGCAUGAUUGCGGGAUUGAGAAAAUUUUUGCUAUCACUGUUGAUAAUGCAAGCUCCAAUGACACAGCCAUUUCUUAUCUUAGGCAAAAGGUAGUUGCUUGGAGUAGUGAUGGAUGUGUUCUAGAUGGGAAGUAUUUACACUUGAGAUGUUGUGCACACAUUAUCAAUUUGAUCGUUGGUGAAGGGUUGAGGGAAGCGCAUGACUCCAUUGUGAAUGUUCGCAAUGCAAUCAAAUAUGUGAAAUCUUCUCCUUCUAGGUACGAAAAAUUAAAGAAGUGUGCAAGAAAAGAGAAGAUUGAUUGUAAGCCUAUUGUGUUUUUUGAAUGUUCCAACUAGGUGGAACUCUACUUAUUUGAUGUUGGAGACGGCAUUGAAAUUUGAAAAAGCUUUUGAUAGGUUAGAAGAGGAGGAUGCUCAGUAUUCACAUUACUUUCGAGAAGAUGAUAGCGGUAGGAGGAGGGGCGGACCUCCGUCAAGUUUAGAUUGGGAAAGUGUAUCUGUGUUUGUUAAAUUUCUUGAAAAUUUCUUUAAUGCGACUUUGGUUUUUAGUGCUUCAUUGCAUGUUAGUGCUUGUGCUUAUCUGCAUGAAAUUUGUAAUCUUGUAAUCGAAUUGGAUGAAUGGAGAUUAAGUGGAAACUUUUUUUUUGUUGAAAUGGCGACUAACAUGAAAAAGAAGUUUAAUAAGUAUUGGGGUAAAAUGGAAAAUGUGAAUCAAGUGUUGCUUUUUGCUACUAUCCUCGAUCCAAGAUACAAAAUGGAUUAUGUUGAAUAUUGUUUAAAUGAUCUAUAUAUGGAUGUAAAAGUUGCUAGUAAUAUGAUGAAGUCUUUGAAAACCAAUUUGAUAGAUAUUUAUGAGUGGUAUGUUGGUCAUGAAGGUAUUGAUGGAAAUAGUAAAGUGUCAACCGAGGAGUCUUUAAGUUCUAUCAAUACAUAUAAAGGAAGUUCUUCUUCUAUUAGUAAUGCUCGUCUCAAUAGAUUUCUGGAAAAACAAGCGGUGAAGGAUUCAGUUGAAAUAAAAAAUGAUGUGGAACGAUACCUGUUGAAAGCAUAGAGAACAAGGAUUUUGAAGUUCUGGAUUGGUGGAAGGUUAACAGAAAUAAGUAUGGUGUGUUAUCCAAUUUGGCCAAAGAUGUUUUAGCAAUUCAAGUUUCAACUGUUGCUUCAGAAAGUGCAUUUAGUACUGGAGGAAGAAUACUUGAUCCUUUUCGUAGUUCCUUAAGUACUAGAAUGGUUGAGGUCUUAGUAUGCACUCAAAAUUGGUUGAAAGCAUCUCCGAACUUGGAUGGUUUUUGCAUGGAAGAUGUUGAGCAUUACAACCAAAUGGAUGAGCUUUUAGAUUCAAUAAAUUCAAAAUCAAUUGAAGAUGACCAAGAACCCGACGCUAAGUGAAUCAUUUAUUUUACAAGAUUUCACUUUUCAUGUAGGCAUAUUAAUCGGUGAAUAAUUUCAUAAUUAUUAUGUUUCCAUCAGUUUUCCCAUUUCUGUAAAACUGACUUGUACAAUUUUUUAUGAUAACAGGUUAGUGCAUAAAACUUUUGCUUCAACAAACAAUGUCUUUUGACUUUAUCACGUGUUACAAAAUGCAAAGACACUAUCAAACUUAAAGAAUGUAAGUUCCAGUCUUCCAGAGCUCUAAUAUCACUGAAUACUUUUGUUAUAUAUUACUAUAAUUGAGUUUACAAAUUUGAAGUGCGCUAAGCCUCUAACUAUGUUUGAAGGAUAUUUUGGCUAAAAGUUGCUUACACUGGGUGAGAUACUGAGAUGGAUGCUGUUUUUGAAUUUGAUUGUGUAGUGAAAAUCACUAUUUUGCAUGACAAAAAAUGUAAGUAAUUCCCAUUCUUGUUUGUAGAAUAUUGUUUAUUUAUGCAUGAAUAGGAAUUGAGUUUACAUAUUUGAAAUGCUCUAAGCCUCUAACUAUUUUUGAAGGAUAUUUUGCUCAAAGUUUCUUACACUUGGUGAGAUGGAUCUUGUUUUUGAAUCUGAUUGUGUAGUGAAAAUCACUCUUUUGCAUGACAAAAAAUGUAAGUAAUCCACAUUCUUGUUUGUAGAAUAUUGUUUAUUUAUGCAUGAAUAGGGAAAGCAUAUUUAUAUGUCCUAUAGCAAAACGGUGGUACUUUCUUUUGACACAUUAAUUGUUUGCUUUUCUUAGUUCUCAUUAUCCAGAUUUUUGUUAAAAACCAAACAUUGAAAAGCAAACCAGGUGGGGGAUUUGACAGGAAAUGCCAAUUUAUGAAUAAGCUUGUAUUUGAGGUUUCCCAGCCUUCUAAUUUCUAAAUAAACAUGGCAUUCCCAGCUUUUGAAACAGAUUCUAGAUAAAGAUGGUUCACAUUCGUCACAAGGCAAGAUCUCCAGGAAGGUUUUCAUAUAGGUAAUCUGGAAAGAUUAGUUUUAUUCCUUUCCCUUAAGAAAUAUUUCGUAAUUCCAUGGACAUCAGCAAAUGAAAGCUCGAGCAACUCAAAAGCCUGUAAUAACUUUUCUUCAAAAUGUUCUUUGUCAAUUACAACUGGACAGUUUUAUUCAUAGCCUAGGAUUUUUUAUUAAGUAGAAACAAGAAGCUGUUAGGAGAUGUUUUCCUAUUCAUGCAUAAAUUACCUGCAAAGGGAAUUAUUAUUUAUUUAUAAGCGAUAGUUUUAUCUAAUUACGACAAAUGUUUACUUUGUUAUUGCCAUCAAUGUUGCUGUCUUGCUGACUUGCUGGCGUUGGAGUUAAGGGUCCCAAAUUACAAUGUUGCUGACUUGCUGGGAAUCUGAGAUGUUCUUACUGCUGCUGGCUUGCUGGGAAUUUAAGUUAAGGUCCCAGAUGGGUUUACUUUGUUUUGUCAUCAAUGUUCCUAGACUGCUACUAACUAUUGAGUGCUGAGAAUCUGAGAAUGCCUGAUUAUGCAACUGCCCCAACUCUCAAGUUCAAUGUAUUAAUUUUCAAGUUCUUUUGACAAUGGAUGACUGUAUUAAUUGUAUGUUGGUGAAUUUUUAUUUGGAUAGUUGUAUGCUAUAUUAAAUAUUAUUUGUAUUUUAGUUAUUUGGAUGACGAGUUGUCUUUUUUUGAACAUAAUAUGAUAAUAAAUUACACUUUUGCUCAAACCGACCAACCCAACCCAACCCGACCGACACUUGAUUAGGUUGGGUUGGUUUGAUUUUUUAUCAAACCGACAAUGUUGGGUUAGGUUAGGGUUGGGGCAAAAACCGACCCAACCCAAUCCACGCCCACGCCUAUUCAUCAUUGUAAAAAAAUGGAUUCACAUCAUCAAUUCAUUAUUUUAUAUAAAAAGAACCUUUUCCAGAGGAAUCAGAGCAGAGAAUAUGUUAUAAAUUGAAGAUAAAAAGAGACAACAAAAGAUAAAAGUUAAUAAACUUAUAUUUUUUAUCAAUAACCAAGCCACGUAUUGGUAAGGGAAAAUUAGAAUUACAAGGGAUACAUUAUUCAUAACAACUAGGGCUGCACGAAUAUAAAAAUCAUCCAUAAAAAUUACUAUAAUUAAAACAUUAAAAAUAUUGUUCGAGGAAAUAUCAUUUUUAAUUUCAUUAUUUGGUUUUAUACAUGUUUUAACAUAUGAUCUUUGACACAUGACAUACAUGAUACACACAAACUAAACAAAAGUCUAUACCAUAGUUCAGGUUGCAAGAGUCUUGAGGAAGAGACUUAUCAAUGCCUAGGAAGUUAAUUUAGGCUUAUCUCUGUCGAAUUUAAAAUCACUCGAGAUUAGGAGAUCCUUGCUAUAUCUUUGAUUACAUAUCCUCCCACGGAAACAUAAUCCCAAUGUCAGAAUUCUUAUAGUUUUAAAAGUACAACAUAAUCUACAAAUAAUCUAAGGGUCCGUUUAAUUGCAAGAAUGAAAUUUGAAUGGAAAGAAAAUGAUUCCAGGAAAUUGAAUUGUUUAGAGCUUGUUUUAUUGAGAAUUAUUAAUUAAAAGUGUUUAAUUUGUAUAACUUUUCACCAGAAAAAUAUUGAAAUUUUGAAUCUUUUGGUAUUCGUUUGACUUUUUUUUCAUGAAAACUAUCAAUUAAAGGAAUAGAUUUUUUUACAAUUGUGGAUAGAAUUUGUUCAUAUUGCUGAAAAUUAAAGAAAUAAUAUAAAACUGGUCCAUAGUUUUAAGGAAAAUGGGUCACUUGAGGGUUGGGGGAGGAAAACCAAUUCCCAGGAAAAUCUAAGCAAUCAAAUGGCAAAAAAGGUGGAAAAUGGAAAAUUUUCUAUGGAAAACCCACCGAAUCAAACAGGCCCUAAGUGUCAAACUUUAAACCAAUUGAGAAGCAUUUAUGUUGAAUUAAAAGAAAACACUAGGAUUUUAAAUGCCUCUAUAUUCUUGUAUUUUAAUAUCAAUUUCAAAAUUUGAAAACACAUAUUAGAACUUGAAGAUUGAUGUUCCUAAUUUAUUUAAGGCAAGUUUGACCUCCUUUACUUUAAUUUAAUCUAUUUUACAUAUUCAUUUUUAAUCACAAAUUUAUACAAUGAAAUAUUGUUUACGUAAAUCCAAAACAUUUUCUUACUUUUUAAUUACACGUUCUCAAAAAAAAAAAAAAGCAUUUUAAAACUAUGUUUUUAAAAUUUUAUGGAUAUCAAACAAUGGCUUAACGAACUCUCUCAAUUAAUAUUAAACACAUUCUCACGUAUGACCAUUAUCUCUAUAAAAUAUGUUAACCUAUGAAGAUGAAUUAAAUCACAAGAACACUCAUAAGAUUUUGAACUUUGACCGCAAUUAUUUCUUUUUUUAAUUUUCUUAAGUUAGACUCAUUUUUGCAUUUUUUGAAAAGAUUUUGACCACAAUUAUUUAUUUUUUCUUCCUUUUUUCUUUUUAUUUAUUUAAAUGUGAAGCUAAAUUCUUCAUUUUACAUGACUUUAUGGAAAAAGAUAAAGGAUUGUAUCCUAUAAAGUUUGACUGAUUUAGAAAAAUUUUGCUCCUAAAUAAAAUUUUAGGGGGUAUUGCUUGAAUUGGAUAAACGUUAUGAAAUAUUGUGCUGGUUAACAUAAACUAAACAAGAGUUUGUUAUUACUCUACUGGAGGAAAAAAAAAAGUUACAUUUUUAAUGUAACCAGUAUGUUAAAGCUUUAAUAUUUGAAUACCUUGUCUCUACAAACAUGGUUGCAUACAAUUUCUACGAGAACAACGCAUCUAGCAAUAGUGGUGCUAAAGUAUAAUUGGUCCUGUCAUAAGUUCCAAAUGAAUAAUAUAUUUAAAUAAAUUUAUCAUUUAAUGUCGUACAAUUAUAACUUAUAUCAAUACUCAACAUUGAUAAUGUUGAAUAAUAAUACUCUUCCUAUAAACAUGAUUGUAUGUAUUGCAUUGGAAGUCUGGUUCAUUCUUUUAUUAACUGGUAGUAUAGAACUUUAUAGAAAGACCUCGUCUUUUCUACAGAAUGUUAUUCUUUUUUAUUUAUAACUCUUUUUUGUCAAAGAUAAUGACAAACGGUCCCCAAGGAUUUUUUUUCCCAAGAAUGCCGGGAAACUCCUAGAGCCUGUUUGGGAGUGAUUUUGAGAAUUGAUUUUUUGACCGUUAAGAGAAAAGUGGGGUCCACUUAUGAGAGAAGAAGUCAAAAAUGACGGCUGAAAUGGUGAAAUAACGAUCAAAAAAUCAAUUUUUUGAGUGAAAAAAUGGGGCCCAAACAGGCCCCUAGAAUCAUCGUCUUCUUCCCAUAUAUAUCUAGACUCUCUAAGCUACUCUGAUUAUAGAGAAUUUGAAAGCCUGGAUUCAGCCAUCAUAAGAAAACUCAUAUCCUUAUAUUGCAAUUGAAGAAAUCCACUAGAUAAAUGUCUCUGAUUCCAAGCUUCUUUGGUAAUCGACGAAGCAACGUUUUCGAUCCAUUCUCUCUCGAUAUUUGGGAUCCCUUUGAGGGCUUCCCUUUCUCAAGCUCGGUAGCCAAUGUCCCAAACUCUGUCCGCGAAAUAUCUGCAUUUGCCAAUGCUCGCAUAGACUGGAAAGAGACUCCAGAGGCCCAUGUUUUCAAGGCUGAUCUUCCCGGACUCAAGAAGGAAGAGGUUAAGGUGGAGGUUGAAGAAGGAGGAGUGCUUCAGAUAAGCGGAGAGAGGAGCAAGGAGCAAGAGGAGAAGAAUGACAAGUGGCAUCACGUGGAGAGAAGCAGUGGCAAGUUCCUUUGCCGGUUUAGGUUGCCGAAAAAUGCCAAAACAGAUCAGGUAAAGGCUAGCAUGGAGAGUGGUGUGCUUACUGUGACUGUGCCUAAGGAGGAAGUGAAGAAGCCUGAGGUGAAAUCCAUUGAGAUUUCUGGUUGAUGUUUUGAUCUUGCUGAUAAAUUUAUGAUGUCUGUCUGUGGUGUGAUAAUGCUAAUUCAGUGUUUAUUGUCUCAUGUUUGGAAAUGAAGGGGUGUGUUUGGUGUUGAAAGUAAUGUAAAAUUUUCAAAUUAAUAUAAAAGUAAAUUUCUGUUGUUCUUGCACAUUUGUAAAAGUUAUUAGCUAUCCAUUUAUUACCAACAUUACAGUUCUUACCCAAAAUUACAGUGAACAAGAGAUAUUAUUUCUUAGAAAAUUAAGAGAUUUUCGGUUGAUAGGGCAAUAAUUUAAAACUUAAGCUAACAUUCUACCCAAUUAAUAUAAUACCAUAUCAAAAUUUCAAAAAGAGACUCCACUGUCCUUCCACGAAUACUGAAGGCUUACUAGAGUCAUAAAAUUCUGAAAGUACAAUUCAACUUCUUGUGCCAAUUAGUAUAUACCAUAUCUAGAUCUUCGAAGACAACUCUACUGCCCCUUCGCGAAUAUUGUAUGAAAUUCUGAAAGUACAAUUCAACUUGAAGGAUGCUGAGCAACAUCAAUUUACCAUCCACAACACAACAUCAGGAGUAUGGUCGUUUAUUUGACUCUGCUUUAUGUAUGUAUACACCACACGUCUGUCCCUUGAAGAAGGCACAUGCAUCACCUGAAUUUGAUCCAACUUCAACCUUCCAGAAUGCCCUUUAUGCAGCACUUCGUACCUACAGAAUAUUAAAAAUGGCACAAGUAGCAUGUAAAUUUGUAGUGUAGUUCAAAUUUAAAAUAGUUUUUGUAUAUCUUUCUUGAUCGAAUGAUAAGUCUUGUCACUCUGAAACCAUAGUGUUAUUUGAAUGAUUAAAAUCAAAUCUUCUUGACAAAGAUGGAAGUAUCCACAAAUGCACAAUACAAAGAGAGUUAUAGGAUUUUUUAACGGUACUCUAAAGGCUUGAAAGGAAAUUAAGCAACUAAAAUGUUAGCUUAAAAAUAAAGAAUCGAACAGAAAAUUAGCACAAAGCCAGGUAGGCAAUCAACAAAAUUACAAGAUACACAUCUCGAUGCUGACAAUCUUAUAACAAACAAAGGAAUCGUAAUUUUGUGACAUGCUACUCAAGGAUCCAUGGAAAGUAUCAGAUGAUCAUUCAUGCUAGACUAUCAUUGUUUUGAUGUAGUCAAUAAGAGCAUCCAAAUUGUGAUACGAUGAUCCACCUUCAUUAACAGCUUUUCUUGCAAGAUUUGCCACAUUUUGUGACCUUUUCAAGAACUCAUCCUUCCUUUCUUCCAUAAGCUCUUUGACAGCUUUCUCAAUAAUAUCUCUAUCACAAGUAUCUUUUAUGUCUAACCCAAUCUUCCAACCCUCACUCACAAACCUACUGUUAAUUGUUUGAUCACCAAAAUAUGGCCAACAAAUCAUUGGCACACCAACUACAAUACUCUCCAAAGUCGAGUUCCAUCCACUGUGAGUCAAAAACCCACCCACUGCCUCGUGGUUCAGAACUUCUUCCUGAGGAGCCCAUCCUACCAUGUAACCCCUGGCCUUCGUACCCUCCUCUAAUUCUAUUGGAGUUUGAUUCUUCACACCUUCCCCUACAAUUGAAUCUGGUCUCAUGACCCACAAGAACCUCUGUCCACUAUUCACCAAUCCAUGCCAGAAUUCCAGUAGCUGCUCUCUUGUCACAACUGUAAUGCUUCCAAAACUAACGUAGAUUACUGAAUUUGACGGCUGUGCAUUAAGCCAAUCCAGACAACUCCGGUCUUCAGCCCAGAAGCUUCCUGAAAGAACUGAAUUAUCGACCUUCUUCUCAGCCAGUCUCGACUUCAGGUGGGAAUGAUUUGGUCCAAUGGUGAAGACUUUUGGUAUGUGCUUCCGUAUAUGAGAUAUUAUUGACCCUUCUAGAUCUUCAAAAGUGUUAAAAAUGGCUGCUUGCGCUCUUGUGGUUUGUCUGGUCAGGGAUUUCAUCAUGUGAAGUUUUGGCUCAUUGAUGUCGUUGACACGGCAAAAGCUGGGCAAGUCACGGAUCCUUAGAAAACCUUCCAUUCCCG
RNAcentral lists this long non-coding RNA (48189 nucleotides) under Olea europaea (common olive). RNAcentral describes it as "long non-coding RNA (OEUR_LNC009728)". The record is from RNAcentral. Lineage: Eukaryota; Viridiplantae; Streptophyta; Magnoliopsida; Lamiales; Oleaceae.